Molecule: long non-coding RNA, 84257 nt
Filed under: Selaginella moellendorffii
Lineage: Eukaryota; Viridiplantae; Streptophyta; Lycopodiopsida; Selaginellales; Selaginellaceae
Source: RNAcentral
AGGGGAGCUAGAUCGUUGGAAGCGAUGGCUUAUCGCAAUGGAAUCAGAGAGAGGAAGAGGAUCGUAGGGAGGAUCAUUCAUGCCUUGCGGCGAAGAGAGGAGAUUUUGAUCGAUUGCGGCUUGUGAGUAGAUCCAUUUCUAGAAUUCUAGCGAAGAGGAUUGAUCCAGAUUGCGGGCAAUUGGAAUCCGGCACGAUGAGUGAGAUGUUCCAGACCUACGAGCGGCAGUACCAGGAGCUUGUCUCCGGUCUAAAGCAAGGCUGCGUCGCCGCUGGAGCUCUCAAUGAGGGUAAUCAAUCCCUUCCUUCGAUCGAUUGAUCUAAGCGGUAAAUUCCAGCAGAUCAGAGGAGACCCAAAGUUCUUGAAUUGAAAACGGCGCUCGACGAAGGGGAUUCCUUGGUAACGGAAGUUUUCUCGCCAAGAAAGCUAGAUUCUCAUCGAUGGAUUUUCAGAUCAGGAGGAUGGAUCUCGAGGCGCGGGGGCUCCAGCCGCCGCAGAAGACGGCAUUCCUGGGAAAGCUCAAGAACUACAAGGCGGAGCUCACAAAUCUCAAGCGCGAAGUUAAGAUGAUGUCCAUGGGCGCUGGAGCGCGAGAGCAGCUCCUGGAAAGCGGCCAAUUCACGGUAAAUCCUUCCUUCUUCUUCUCAACCCUUCGUCUUGGGCGACGCUCUUCGACUAAGUCCCAGCAGAUUUGCUCCAGACCUCGCAAGAACAACAGGUCCAACUAGCCGCCGCCACCGAUAGGAUGUAUCAAACCGGCGAUCGGAUACGAGAAGGCAAGAAGGUGCUGGUGGAGACCGAAGAACUCGGCGUCUCGAUCCUCCAGGACCUCCACCGGCAGCGGGAAGUUCUCCAGCACUCGAAGAACACCGUAAGUUUUGCGCUUGAUCACCGCUUAGAUCGUCUGUUCUUGGAUGAUCCAGUUGCAUGGAGUGGACGACAACAUCGCCCGGGGCAAAGUCAUCAUCCACAACAUCAGCCGGAGGAUCACCAGGAACAAGUACAUCAUGGCAGGCCUGAUCAUCUUCCUCUUGCUUGCCAUCCUCGUCAUUGCCACGGGCAAGAGGCCCCACAGCUAACUUGGUUUUCCAUCCGAGCAGCAAUCCAAAAUCCCAUCGUCGCACUGAAAGAAACUCCACAGCCAUCGUCGAGCACCGCCACCACCAAAAGCGUUCUUCGUCGGCUUGAUCUGAUCUACUUCCAACUCUAAAACAUCGCGUCCUCCUGUUCUUCGUCGGCUUGAUCUGAUCUACUUGCAACUCUAGAACAUCGCGUCCCUGUUCUUCGUCGGCUCAAUCUGGUCUACUUGCAACUCUAGAACAUCGCGUCCUGGAAGCUGAUCCUCUUCUUGGCCGAGGAGCUCCCGACCCUCUGGAGAGAAACUUCCAGCUGCAAACGCCCCUCGCUUGGGAACAUAUGUGCCGGAACCACCAGGAAAUCCAUGGGCUGCCUGCUCUGCGAGAAAGUCUGUGCCACGCUCUCGAACAGCAGCCUCUUCUUCCCAUUCUUGAGCUCCACCUGGUAGAGAUACUCGUCCGGUGCCGCGGCUCCAAAGUAAGUCACGUAGAGCGAGCUCCCGAGAGAAUUCUUGUCCUGGUGGAGUAAGAAGCACAGCCCUUCAACCUUAAGCAGGAAGAACGCCGCCUCUGGCCCCGCGAGGAAGAGCGUGCACCGAGCUUCCCACGAGAAAUCGUAGCGCGCCACCUGAUGCGCCUCGACGAUGUGCGCCAGGAGAUCUCUGGUUGGAGCCGAGACGUUGCAGGGCUUGAUCGGGCAGGCGCAUGGCCGGAAUUCGCAGCUCCUCUCGUGGAUCGCCUUGUGGACGAACUUGGGCAUGGCGCCGCAGCCGUGGUCCGCGAACUUGCAGCUCACGCUCAGCGUCUCGAUGAGCUUCUCGAUGGCCAGGCAGCGGAUCGAUCCCAGCGGCUUGGAGCACGUCGGGCACACGUCGCUGAUCUUGGAGCGGCAGCUCUGGCAGGCGAUGUGGCCGUUCGAGCACUGCGAGAGGGAUAUUUCACCGAGAAUCAAUGCCAAGAACAUGGAAAUCGAUCGAAUAUCGGUACCUGGAAGAUCGGCGGGGUCAGGGAUUCCAUACACACGCUGCAAUCGAGCGUAUCCACAUCCAGCGUCGCAAGAACAGCGCCGUCCGCCAUCGCCGUGCUCGCAGAGGCAGCCGGCGCCACAGGCGCCGAGGGAAUGGACAUCAUCGGCAUCGCCAUUGCCAUAGCAGAUGUCUCCCCGUCGGGCGUCGAGAUACGCAAGCGCUUCGAGGCAAUUGUCUGUGUGGAAAAUCGCACCAUUUCUAGGUCCAAAAGAAAGGGACUAAAAAUGAAGAACCCUAAAUGCCAAGAAUAUACUUUUGCGAAGAACCCUAGAGCUUUUGGGGAAGCCCUAGCCGCCGCAUCAAAGAGCUAGCGCCAGCGCCUUGCAUCAUGACUGUCAAGCGGCGGAAUGGCGGCCGCAACAAGCACGGCCGCGGCCAUGUCGAUCCAAUCCGGUGCUCCAAUUGUGGGCGCUGCGUCCCCAAGGUAUGACAUCUAGAGGAUUUUCCAUCUCUCUUUGCCGGCGGAGCUGAGAUUUCGCCUCCAGGACAAGGCCGUGAAGCGCUUCCUUGUCAGGAACAUCGUGGAGCAGGCAGCGGUGCGCGAUGUGCAAGACGCUUGCGUCUACGAAUGUAAGCAGCUCAAUUUUUUUCUCUGGAGGCUUGUUUCAUGACCAAUGUCUUGGUUCUUGCAGCUUACACGCUCCCCAAGCUCUACGGGAAAAUGCAGUACUGCGUCUCCUGCGCGAUCCACUCUCACGUCGUGCGCGUCCGAUCGAGAGAGAAGAGAAGGGACCGAAAUCCGCCAGUGCGACCCUUCCAGAGGCGCAAGGUUUGAAAGCUAUAGAUUUGGGAAUUUCUUACGAGCGUUCUCUCGUGGUGUUUGUAGGAGGACUUUGUUCCUCGACCUGGUGGCCCUGGUGCUGCUGGAGGUCCUGGCGGUCCUGGAGCUCCGCGUCCACCACCGCCCCGAUAAAUCGGUCAGCACGAAACUUUGCUACUCUUCCUUUCCGGCUAACGAAGAGAGAGUUAAUCUUUUGUUUGGAAUGGCUUUCUUAAUCUCAUAUGGAAGUUUUUGUUGCUUGUGAUCAAUCUCUUGAUUCUUCCAGCUUUGAUGUGAUCUGGGAAAAUCUCAUACCCUCUGGGUCUGAAAUCUUCGCUCGCAAGUUUGGUGGCUUGAGCAAAACCUUGUCACUCCUAGCCUUAUGCUAAAUGCCGGGUCCGACGAAUCCAUCGCUACAGUGCCGCCGAAUCUAAAGUCGUGUAGACACACUCCACAUCUGUGCCUGUUCCAACGCAGUCCAUCUCCUCAAAACUGGCCGGGACCUUCAUCCAUUUGGAGACUGACGGAUUUGUUGUCGACGAAUUCAGCCUCGCUCUCGACUUUUUUGCAAAAACUCGUGCCUGGAUCGAAUGGUUCUUUGAUAAUGGCAAAGAAAGAUACAACGCAUUCAAAUGCUCAAACCCAGUAGUAAUCAAAUGGCUGCUUUCAGUGAUAAAAACUUUAGAGCUUGAGAAACCUUUGUUUAAACAAGCUGGACACCAUAUCUUUUUUGAUCUUCCUCGACCAAGAGCUGCUUCCACCCCCUAUUACUCCAUUCCAUGAGUUUAUACCACUUUGUUGGCUUGAGAAACGCGAUGUAAACCUUGUCAUUCACAGCCUUCAUGCUAAAGUUCACUACUGGAACAUAUGUCGGAUCUCCCACCCAUGCUGUAGGUGGAUCCUCCUGUGGAUCAUCGAUUCUCAAGCACGCAAGCUCCUUGAGACUACUCUCCACCACUUCCAAAAGCCGGAAGAGCCCGAGCGUGGGAUCAUAGCGAGCAACUAAGAACCCAUCCUGCCACUUCUCAAGCCUCAUCUCUGACAUUGGUCUAGACUCCCCAGUAACAGCAGCGCCAAGCUCCACAAUGGUCUUGUACUCAUCUUCUAGCUCAUCGUACUUGACCACCCGGUUAGCUCUCAACCCGUCCGUACCAUUCACCCCCGUGAGAAACUGGGCCUCCCACCCAUUGAUGCUCGAGUCGAAGACCGACAAGAAGUGGAGUUCGAUUCCAAACAACGCAGCCGACAUCAUGGGCACAACAAGCUUGAAUCGUCUCGGGUCACCCUUGUCAAUCGCUAUGGCCAUUCCACCAUUGGGAGAAUGUUGUAAGGAUUCAAAGCUAGGCAAAGCCUUCACCCGUCUGCUGAAGAGAUCGCACACAAGCACCGUCCAUAUCCCCGAUAACCCCCUUGUACUCCCAAACAGGAAGUAAGCGAGGUUGCUCUCGCGAUCGUAGGCCAUUUCGUUUUGAUACUGAAGAGAACUAAAACCCUCCUUGACAGUCUGCGUGGAUGCAAAUUCCAUCACAAAGUCCAAUGGCAUUGCCUUCAGUAACACUUCCCCAUCACGACUUCUUGGGAGAACAAAGAAGAGCUGGAUCAAUUCUUUGCCCUCGGGCUCUUCCAACUCGGACUCUGAACUUCCCUCCAAGGAACUUCCUUUACACCUUUGGACUUGCCAAAACCCUGAGCAUAGUAUGCUAUGCACACAUGCUGCCCAUUCCUUGGAAACUAACCUCACAUUGCCCAAAUCUUCCAUGGGAACCAUCUCUAGAAUUUCCCGAAGGAGUUGCCUAAACACCGCCUUCAUCGCCCCAAAAGCCCUAGAAUAUUUUAGUUCUAGGCUUAGGGUUCCUUGGCGGCUAGGGCUUCUAGGUGGCGCUCCAAAUCUAUAUUAUUAAUAGGAGCUACUUUUAAGGCUUUAAUCGAGAAUUUUGCUAUUGUUUAAUUUUCGACCCAGGGGGCCUUGCAUUUACAAGAUAAAUACCAGCGAGUGUGAUCGUAGCUCCCAAAAUUUGAGCGCCAUUGAGGCUUUCAUCCAAAACAAGAUAUCUACGAACAAGAAGCUUUUAAAUCAUGGAAGAAAUGCUCCACACUUACCCAAAAAAAGCCGCAAACAUUGGCGUGAGAAAUGUCAAAGACUUCAGCUUCGUGAGGCUCCCUGCAGAACUCACAAACUCAAAACUUUCAAUCGCGCUAGAGUCGAAGAAAAUCCUUCCUUUUCUCUCACCUUUGGUGGCGUUGUAGAAGAACACACCAUAGCUUAUAGCACUCCCAAAGAUCGAGGUGUAAGCUAGAGAAGCCCAGUCACUAACCAUGAGAUCUUCCAAGUGACCAUUCAAGGCGGGCUCGCUGUUAGACGCUGCGAGGAGUAACAAUGGCAAGCCACCAAUUAUCAUAUGCUGCAAGAAAAAACAAAACAGAGUUUUUCGAGCUUGAAAGUUUCAUGGUUUGCGUACGCAGCCAGUUGCCAUGAUCGGAUCCGAGAACUUGCACACCCAGCGAACCAAGAGCGUGCCAAGAGCCAUGCUUUGAGCAGCAAGGAGGAUGUACCGCUCCAUUGCUUUCCUCCGGUGAUGACAUAGAAUUCUCCUCCAGUUUUUGGAGCAGUGGACUCCCAAGGAUUCAGCUGGAUGCUGCUGGAGGUGAUCAAAAGCUUCAUAGUUCUUACAUCGUCUCACUGGAAUUUGCCACAGGUGAAGCCCCGCUAUGCCUAGAAGAAGUCCCAAAACUCCUAGAGGCCUGAUCGUCGCGUUGAAGAGGAUCGACGCGAGAAUGGCUACUGUAAAAGGCUGCGAAUCCAUGAUAAUCUGCAUGAAUUUUCUAGGAAGUAGAAAUCCAGCUUUUGAUCUUAUGAUCUCAAAAACCUACACUUCCAAGUCCUUUUCCCAAGUAGAAUGAAACAACCUGUCAAAACUAAUUCUAGGAGUUAUCAUAAGACUAUAGUUUUACAUGGCGUGCAUUAUAACAUGAGGCAUCGAAAUGCAAUGAGUUCUCUCUUUUUUCUUCCUAUGGACGCAAGAGAUCGCAUAGAGGGCCAGGUCUCGAAAAGAAAACUACUUUUUUUUUUUAACCUUUGUUUAAACAAGCUGGACAGCAUAUCUUCCUUUAGCUUCCUCGACCAAGAGCUGCUUCCACUCCCCAUUACUCCAUUCCAUGAGUUUAUACCACUCUGUUGUGAGCAAUGCGAUAUAAACCUUGUCAUUCAUAGUCUUCAUGCUAAAUUCCAGAUCUGUCGACGGUGGAUCCUCAUGUGGAUCAUCGAUUCUCAAGCACGCAAGCUCCUUGAAACUACUCUCCACCACUUCCAAAAGCCGGAGGAGCCCGCGCGUGGGAUCAUAGCGAGCAACUAAGAACCCAUCCUGCCACUUCUCAAGCCUCAUCUCUGACGGUGGUCUAGACUCCCCAGUAACAGCAGCGCCAAGCUCCACAAUGAUCUUGUACUUCUCACCUUCUAGCCCAUCGUACUUGACCACUCGCUUACGUCUCAACCCGUACCAUUCACCCCCGUGAGAAACUGGGCUGUUAACGAAAUCCUGUGCCAUGCGAUCGACUUGCUCCCACCCAUUGAUGCUCGAGUCGAAGACCGACAAGAAGUGGGAUUCGAAUCCAUGCAACACAGGCGACAUCAUGGGCACAACAAGCUUGUAUCGUCUCGCGUCACUCUUGUCAAUCACUAUGGCCAUUCCACCAUUGGGAUCAUGUCCCAAGGAUUGAAAGCUAGGCAAAGCCUUCACCUGUCUGUUGAAGAGAUCACACACAAGCACCGUCCAUAGCGUCCUGAAUCUGUGCGUACUCACAAACAGGAAGUAAGCGAGGUUGCUCUUGUGAUCGUAGGCCAUAUUGCCUUCAUAAGCAAGAGGAUCAAAUCCCUCCUCAACACUCUGCGUGGACGCAAAUUCCAUCACAAAGUCCAGCGCCGCCGCCUUCAGUAACACUUCCCGAUCAUGACUUCUUGUGAGAACAUAGAAGAGCUGCUUCAACUCCUUGAGCCGGGGCUUCUCCAAGGAACUUCCCUCACUGAAAAUUAUACACCUUUCGACUUGCCAAAAGCCUGAGCGUAGAAUGCUAUGCACACACCCAUUCCUUUGAAACUAACUUUACAUUGCCCCAAUCCUCCAUAGGAACCAUCUCUAAGGAGUUGUCUAAACACCACCUUCAUCGCCCCAAAAGCCCUCAUAUUUUAAGGAUAAUUUAGGGCUGAAACCACAUAUAUACUCUGUAGGAGCUCCUUUAAGGUUUUAAUCAAGAAUUUUGCUAUUUUAAGGGGGCCUUGCAUUUACAAGAUAAAUACCAGCGAGUGUGAUCGUAGCUCCCAAAAUUUGAGCGCCAUUGAGGCUUUCAUCCAAAACAAGAUAUCUACAAACAAGAAGCUUUUAAAUCAUGGAAAAAAUGCUCCACGCUUACCCAAAAAAAGCCGCAAACAUUGGUGUGAGAAAUGUCAAAGAACUCAGCUUCGUGAGGCUCCCUGCAGAACUCACAAACUCAAAACUUUCAAUCACGCUAGAGUCGAAGAAAAUCCUUCCUUUUCUCUCACCUUUGGUGGCGUUGUAGAAGAACACACCAUAGCUUAUAGCACUCCCAAAGAUCGAGGUGUAAGCUAGAGAAGCCCAGUCACUAACCAUGAGAUCUUCCAAGUGACCAUUCAAGGCGGGCUCGUUGUUAGACGCUGCGAGGAGUAACAAUGGCAAGCCACCAAUUAUCAUAUGCUGCGAGAGAAAACAAAACAGAGUUUUUCGAGCUUGAAAGUUUCAUGGUUUGCGUACCCAGCCAGUUGCCAUGAUCGGAUCCGAGAACUUGCACACCCAGCGAACCAAGAGCGUGCCAAGAGCCAUGCUUUGAGCAGCGAGGAGCAUAUACCACUCUCCGCUGCUCCAAAAACUGGAGGAGAAUUCUAUGCCACCACCGGAGGAAAGUAGUGCUCCCAAGGAUUCAGCUGGAACCUGUGGCAAAUUCCAGUGAGACGAUGCAAGAACUAUGAAGCUUGUGAUCACCUCCAGCAGCAAAAGCCCCGCUACGCCUAGAAGAAGUCCCAAAACUCCCAGAGGCUUGAUCGUUUCGUUGAACAGGAUCGACGCGAGAAUGGCUACUGUCAAAGGCUGCGAAUCUAUGAUAACCUGCAUGAAUUCUAAGUGAGCAAAGAACAGUUUUUGAUUCUAUGAUCGCAAGAACUUACACUUCCAAGUCCAGCGCUUGUUUUCCCAAGUCCUGCUGCUAGGAAUCCCUGGACAGUGUUCGAAGUGAAUGAAACAAAUCGAGGAGAAAACUCCGCAAACCUGGAAGCACGACGCAUCGACGAUGCUGAAGAUGAGAAUGCUAAGCCAUGCAUACAGCCCCGACGGCUGCUUCCGGCCUCGCAAGCUCGCAAAUCCGACUAGCAGCAAUCCAGCCGGGACAAGCCGCGUCGAUGCAACGAAGUAAGGUCCCGCCUUUGGAAGAACUCCUUUCAUGGCCACCAUAGCCGUGCCCCAGAAAAAGAACGGAGAUAUCAGGAGGAGAUUGUCUAGCAGCGCUGUGUCUAAAGCUCCCGAGCUCCCGGUUUGAUCCAUUCUCUUCUCGGCGCUGCUGAAAGCCUUGCUGCUGCUUGCUGGGUCCGAUGAAUCGAUCGCUCUGGACGAGACAGUGCCGCCGAAUCUAAAGUCGCUCUCCAAGUCCCUGUAGACACACUCCACAUCUGUGCCUGUUCCAACGCAGUCCAUCUCCUCAAAACUGGUCGGGAUUUUUCUCCCAUUUUCGAGCAGCUCGGGUUUGCCGACGAAUUUGGUCUCGACGAUUUCAGCUUCGCUCUCGACUUUCUUGCACAACACUCGAAACUCGUGUCUGGAUCGUAUGAUUCUUUGAUGGUGGCACUGAUCCAAGCAAGAUAUAACGCAUUCAUCUCAAACCCAGAUGGAAAAUCUCUUACCGGGAAGAAAGCUCUCCCGAGAAGAGAGCUCGCAUCCUUGACAGGCAGCCGAAUUCCUCUGUGAAUCCUGGAAGCGCCCAAAUGGCUCGAGGCAGCCAUAGCUGCCACGAUACACGAUACCUCGGAUCAAAUGCCGCCGUUGGAUCUUCAUUUUGAAUGAAUCUCCGUCAACCCUAAGAGGAAAUCUUCGCUUGCCACGAUCGAACCCGCGACCUCGAACAGCCUUGCCACGUGGCAGCCUUCCUUCUUCUUCUUUUUUCCAGUAUAAAGCAAGUAUUUCGAAAGCCCUAACAGACAGGUCUGGUAGCGCAAAAAUCUGCGCAUUGCUUGUUUGCUCCUCUCCUCCGAUCGCGGCGCUAGGUCGAUUCUUUGAUUCUCUCAGUGAUCAGCAUUGCAGUCAAUCAGCGCCGGAUUCUAUGAAAUCGCCAUCAGCGAAUGCGAGAUGAGAAGGACAUGCGACGUUCGUGAUCGGUGUCGCCAUGUCCGGCACGGUUCUUGCGAUACAGGAGCCCUCUCCAGUUCUAGGGCAGCUUUCUCGAAAUGCACAGUGAGUUCUCUCUUCUUUUUUCUCCCUUGUUCUUUGGCUUCUUUGUUUUCUUCUCAUUGCUGUGGAAAAAUGGACUCUUUAGAGUAUCGUAUGAUAUGCAAGAAAGGCGAAGGCACCUUCUCGGAGGUGCUGAAAGCACAAUGCCACAAAUCCAACAAAUAUGUAGCUAUCAAAUGUAUGAAGAACACUUUCGACAGUUUAGAACAGGUGACUUAUCUGUUUAUCCUCUUUUCUUUUUCUCAUCCGUGUAGUUUAUCUCAUUUGCUCAGGUCACCAAUCUCCGAGAAAUCCAGGCUUUGCAGAGGCUUUCACCUCACACGAAUGUGAUAAAGCUCUUGGAAGUUCUCUAGUAAGAUAACCAUUCGCUUUGUUUAAAUGUGGUGCUUACGUUCGUCAGUAAUGUUUUUUCUGCAGCGAUCAGCCUACGGGAAGGUUAGCGUUAGUUUUCGAGCUCAUGGACAUGAACAUCUACGAAUUGAUCCGCGGGAGGCGAACCUAUGUUUCCGAAGACCGGAUCAAGAGCUAUAUGUUUCAGCUCUUAAAAGGUAUGCUGACUGUUACAACGCUGAGCUGACAGAUUCUUUCUUUUUCAGCAAUGGAUCACAUGCACAGAAACGGUAUUUUCCAUCGAGACAUAAAGCCAGAAAACAUCUUAAUCAUGGAAGAAUCCCUCAAGGUACUGUGUUUCUCAGCUGUAACCUGUGUGGUUCUAAUGUUUUUUACAUGUGAAUUGCAGCUUGCAGACUUGGGAAGUUGUCGAGGUGUUUAUUCAAAGCAGCCAUACACUGAAUACAUCUCGACAAGAUGGUAACAAACUCGCUGAGGCUUCUUAUUGCUUUUUACGAGAAGAUGGUAACCAGAAAAUUAAUAAUCCGAGUUUUGGUCCAUUUCUCGUUUUCAAGCAUAAACUGCAGGUAUCGAGCCCCGGAAUGCCUUCUUACAGACGGCUACUACAAUUACAAAAUGGAUAUGUGGGGAGUUGGAUGCGUCUUUUUCGAGAUUAUUAGUUUGUUUCCUCUUUUUCCAGGUAUAUUCUCUUGUGGAAGCAUCAAACAGGACUCAUCUGCUCUUUCCAGGAACUAAUGAGUUGGAUCAAAUACAAAAAAUUCAUAAAGUCAUGGGAACACCUCCACAACAGCUGCUAGACAAAAUGAGGAGGUAUUAGAUCCGUUUUUCGGCUUUGUUUCCAAAGUCUCUGUUUUGUCAGCAGGAGAUCUCAGCAUGCGGAUUUUAAGUUCCCCCAGCAAGACGGGACUGGGAUCGCAAGGCUCAUUCCUCAUGCGUCACCGGCUUGCGUUGAGCUUCUAAACAAACUCCUUGCUUAUAACCCGGAUGACAGGUUUGUGAAUUUGCUUGCAACUAAACAUGUCAGAAAUUUUUUUUGUAGCAGGAUAUCGGCCAGGCAGGCGCUGAGACAUCCUUACUUCAAGGAGCUGCGCGAGAAGGAAAAGCUACAGCAGGCCUUUGCGAAUGCUAACAGGGCUAACAGUCUGCGGCCGUCGCCAAGGUACUGGCAGAAAGCUCGGUUUCGCACUUUGUAAAACUUUUAUCCAUUGCAGUCAUCGCAGACUAGCCAUGCACGACGUUUCCCCUCAAAAGUCGAAAGACGAGGAUGCAAAGCUGCAAGGCCUGGGGACUGGGAAUCCGAGUGCCGCAAGCACACCACGAUCAAUGGCUAGUACACAGCUUCCGUGCCUCAACGUGAAUAGCAAAGCUAAAGAGGUACUACGCUAUUGUUUUGUCGUGAGGUUUUUCUCAGUUCCGUUUUAGCUUUCACAGGACGGGAAAGACACAGGUGGUUCCAGUCCUUUAUCUCAUGCUGGGGAUUCACGAACGCCAGCGACGUUAACUUCUGUUAGCUCCGCUGUAUCAGUGAAUGUUGGUGGAGCUACAGACGCUGGGAGUUCUUGCAUGGAUUUAGACGGCGGUGGCGGCGGCGGGUGUAGCAGCUCUACUCAUGGAUUGCCACCGAUCAAGAACAGCUAUACGUUGUCCAUGCUUUCUCCAAAGCCGCAGCUCUCAAGUCUACACAGGCACUCACAUUAUCAUUCACCAAAGGUACUCCCCUUCUGUUUCUUUCUUUGAGACUGAUGGUUUUGGCCUCAGGCACAUAGUGUCAAAGGUGUGAAGAUCGUGAAAGGCACCAAGAGCCACCGUGUUCUUCCGGAGCUAUCGCCCAAGAGCAUCUCCGGAGGAUACAAGCCCGGGGAGCCGCCGCCUUACAAGAAGCGAGCCAAUUCCAAGUAAGGGAGCGUCGUUUUGUUUGUUUCGCCAAUCGAUUCUCCAAUCAAUUUCUCACAAAUGUUUGUCAUUCCAGGUACACAAGUCCAUACUCGCAAAAGUAUAUCAAUCACCUCGCAGCGACAUUGGUUUGACAAAAGAAAAAUGCGAGACUUUUGCUUGCCAUCGACAAAAAGGAAAAGCCAAUUUUUCUCUGUAUAAUCAAACAAGGGAGACCACAUUAUAUUUGUUGGCAGGAGAAGCAGAAAACUACGUGCAAUUCAUGGAUAGGAAUUACUGCCUCAUUGGCAUACUUUUUACUCUCAUUCUUUUACCAGCGAGUCGCGCAGUAGAUCUUCAAUAUGGCGGAAUUCGAAGGCUAACAAGGCCAAUCGCAACGAUAGUAAUGACAGCGAUUAGAGACCUCAUCCAAAAAUCCACGAGAUCGCCUUGGCUAUCAAUGGGCUAUAGCUUCACACGGAGCAUUCCUGUCGGAGGAGGAUAUUUCGUCCAUAUAAGGAUUUGGAUCACUGUUCCUCUUCGCAAUGGGCUCACAGCCUUCGCUCCAUCGUCUUUCCAAGAAUCGACGCUGGAAAUUCGGCAACAGCUCUUUGAUAUUCUCCGCUACGUUUGGGAGUUUGUGGUCGGCAUGCGCAUGGAAUUUAUGAGCGCCGUGGAGGGAAUCUAUGGAAUCGAGUACCACCGCUCUACAAAUCCCCGCGACGAGCUGCUCAGUGUUAAUCACGCCGCUUAUAAUCGCUUCCAAAGCGUGGUUAGCAGUGGCAGCGAGAGCGUCUCUAAGACCAACUUAGUGAGUAAUACCCCGUUUAAGUACCUGCGCGAUUCGCUAAUCUCCACCAGCCUUCGCUAUAAGCUGGAGAUGCGAGGCGGCUGUUACCUCGUGUUGUACGACACAGCUUUUCACAAUGACAUUUGGACCAGUGGCACGUACGGACUUGGCUAUGGAUGCUUCGUGGAGCUCGAGCCCAGCCCUAACCUGGCGAUCUAUGACGAAGGUGGGAAGCUUGUGAGGUAUCUCUACGAAUCUGGCUGUGACAACUGCGAUCGAUCGUCGGCGCUGGUCGUCCAGGACGAUGGGAAUGUGGUGCUCUAUCUGACCGACACUGGCGAGGCGAUCUGGGCUACCGGGACGAAUCGCUAAGCCAGGAAAUGGAUUUUCUGUGAAAAUAUCCGAGCGAUCCAGCGCUGAGGCAGGAAAUCGAUUCUUCUGUGAAAAAACUCGAGCAAUCCAGCGGCAUUGUUUCCCUCUCUCAAAUGUUUACGCUGGGAUCCUCUAGACGUGGCUCCCGGCGGGCGGCUCUCCGGAUUUCCUCCGCCACAGCCCUGUAAUCGGCGGCCUGUGCGACGAUCACAGCUGUGAGAUCGAUCUGGGACGCAAUCUACGUACUGUGUUGAGGCCGAAUGCUCCGCCCAGGAGCCCUAGGAACCCACAAGCUCCAGCUCCCACGUAGAGCGUCGCGAUCCCCAGGGCCUUGCUCGCGAUCGCCGCUCCGGAUCCAUGCGCGCCGGAAUGCUUGAGCUUCCUGGCAACCAACAGCUGUGAAAUCGACAAUCCCGAGUAGAUUGCCGGCAAACAGCACGUAUCGGCGGUCUUCGCCAUAGCCAGAGCUUUAGGGUUUAGCGAAGACUUUAUGGACUUUGAUUGACUUUGCAUUCAAAGAAAACUAUUAGCAAAACCCUAAGUUCUAUGAUGUUAUCAACUCAACUUGUGGCUGUAGCGAUGAAAUCCUGUUGUUCUGUGAGCUCAAUUUUGAAAUUUUUAAACUUUACAACAAUAGACCAAUUCUUUGUUUUGUUUCGCCAAUGUAUUGCUAUAUAAAUCACCUUGCGUGACUUUUGUUAGGAAGAGCCCCAUUUUCUCUGUCAAUCAAACAAAGCUAAACAACAAAACAAGGAAAAAAUUUCAUCGUUGACAAUAGCAAGUUUCGAGCAGAUUAUAAACAUGUGGUAUUAAUACUAACUACAUCCUCCAUGGGGCGAUUUAGUUGCAUCGCCAUAGUUCUCAUUCUUAUUUUCUCACCAGUGUGUGGAGUUUAUAUAGAAUGGGGUGGCAGUAGUGCGCUAUCGAGAUCGAUAGUAACCGUCAUAGUUACUGCGAUUAGAAAUCUCAUCGUGGUUAGCACAAGAAGGCCUUGGAUAUCAACAGCCUUUAGCAUUACACGAAGCGUUCCUAUCGGAGGAGGACACUUCGUCCAUAUAAGAAUUUGGAUCACUACCCCUCUUCGCAAUGGCCUCACAGCCUUCUCUCCAUUUUCUUCCCAAGUAUCGGCUUUGGAAAUUCGACGCGAUCUAUUGGAUAUUCUCCGCAACAUUUGGGAAGUUGUGGUUGCAGAAGGAGUCGAAUUUAUGAGUGCCGUGGAGGGAAUCUAUGGAAUCGAGUACCACCGCUCUACAAAUCCCCGUGACGAGCUGCUUGGCGUUAAUCCCGCCGCACACUACCAAAGCGUGCUUAGCAGUGGCAGCGAGAGCGUCUCUAAGACCAACUUAGUGAGUAACACGCCGUUUAAGUUCCUGCGUGAUUCGCUAAUCUCCACCAGCCUUCGUUACAAGCUGGAGAUGCGAGGCGGCUGUCACGUCGCGUUGUACGACAGAGAUUUGCGCGACGAUAUUUGGGCCAGUGGCACGUACGGACUUGGCUAUGGAUGCUUCCUGGAGCUCGAGCCCAGCCCUAACCUGGCGAUCUAUGACGAAGGUGGGAAGCUCGUGAGGUAUCUCUACGAAUCCGGCUGUGACAACUGCGAUCGAUCGUCGGCGCUGGUCGUCCAGGACGAUGGGAAUGUGGUGCUCUAUUUGACCGACACUGGCGAGGCGAUCUGGGCUACCGGGACGAAUCGCUGAACAAAUUCUCAGCCAGGAAAUCGAUUCUUCAUCCAGCGGCAUUCCAUCUUUCACCUUGUUCAUGCUCAAAUCAAAUUUGUUCACGCUGGGAUUCUCUAGACGUGGCUGGCUCUUCCCCCACGGCCCUGUAAUCGGCGGCCUCAACAAUCUCUUGUUUUAGGGCUAAAGUUGAAGGUAGUUAGUGGAUCUUUGGAUAAAAGUGCUCUUUAUUUUUAUUUGAUCUAUAUAUAUAUAUAUAAAAUUUUGUGAAGGAGUUUUUUGUCUUUAAAUACAUAAACAAGUAAUUGUUAACAACUCUUUGUUUUGUUGUAUUGCUCGUCCAUAUCGCAAAAGGAUACAACUACGCAUGACUUUUGAUUGCUAGACAAGAAGAGGAGCUCCAUUUUCUCUGUUGAUCAAAGAAAAGAAAACAACAAAACAAGGAUUAUCGUUGACACAUGUUGGGUUAUAAACAUGGGGCAUUAAUAUUUGAACUACAUGCUUCAUGGGUCGAUCUAACAAUCUUGACGACAUCGCCAUAGUUCUCAUUCUUAUCUUUUCACCAGUGUGUCGCGCAGUUGAAAUAAAAUGGGGUGGCAGUAGCGAGCUAUCAAGAAACGUGGUAACGAUCAUAUUUACUGCGAUUAGAGAUCUCAUCCAGGCUACCACAAGAAGGCCUUGGAUAUCAACGGCCUUUAGCAUUACACACAGCAUUCCUAUAGGAGGAUACGUUGUCCGUAUAAGAAUUUGGAUCACUGCCCCUAUUCGCAAUGGCCUCACAGCCUUCACUCCAUUUUCUUCCCGAGAAUCGGCCUUGGAAAUUCGACGCCAAUUCUAUGAUAUUCUCUACCGCAUUUGGGCACUUGUGGUCGCUGAAGGCGUGGAAUACAUGACUGCCGUGGAGGGAACCUAUGGAAUCGAGUACCACCGCAGAAAUCCCCGCGACGAGCUGCUUAGUUUUAAGCCCGCAACUCUCUCCCAAAGCGUGGCUAGCAGUGGCAGCGAGAGCGUCUCUAAGGCCAACUUAGUGAGUAACACGCCGUUUAAGUACCUGCGCGAUUCGCUAAUCUCCACCAGCCUUCGCUAUAAGCUGGAGAUGCGAGGCGGCUGUUCCGUCGCGUUGUACGACAGAGAUUUGAGCGACGAUAUUUGGGCCAGUGGCACGUACGGACUUGGCUAUGGAUGCUUCGUGGAGCUCGAGCCCAGCCCUAACCUGGCGAUCUAUGACGAAGGUGGGAAGCUUGUGACGUAUCUCUACCAAUCGGGCUGCGAUAACUGCGAUCAAUCGUCAGCGCUUGUCGUCCAGGACGAUGGGAAUGUGGUGCUCUAUCUGACCGACACUGGCGAGGCGAUCUGGGCUACCGGGACGAAUCGCUGAGCCAGGAAGUCGAUUCUUUUGUGCCAAAAUUCGAGAAAUCAAUGUCUCAAUUAGGAUUUAGGGUUUAUGGUUUCUAGGGCAGAAGAAGAAUGGCGCAAUCUCUCCGCCUGAUCGCGCGGCGCGGCGCACAAUGCCGGGGCAGGACGAAUGCGCUUGGCAGCGGCUGCACCGGAUCCUUGCUCCGCCGGGAUUUCCAUGUAAGCGCCCCGAGCUCCAACAACUUCCUCCUCAACAGCCUCUUCCGCUUUGGCGGCCAGUCCUACCAGCAGCAGCAGCAGCAGCAGCAGCAGGCCGCCGCGGAGGCGCCGCCGCCCAAGGAGGAGCGGCGCGCGCGCAAGCCCCGGGAAUACAUGGAGCGAUCGGCCGACACGCUCUCCUAUGUCAAGGACCUCAACAUCAAGCAGCGCCUCAUGGUGAAGAAGUUCAUGAACUCGUGCAUGCGCCAGGGAAAGAAGACCAAGGCCCGGACGAUGUGCUUCAAGGCGUUUGAGCGCCUGGCGAACCACGGCGACGUUCUCCACAUCCUGGAGACCGCGGUAGAGAAUGUGAAGCCGAUCUGCGAGGUCCGGAGGGUGCGCGUCGCCGGGAGCACGCACAACGUCCCCGCGGCCAUCCCGCUCCACCGGCAGCAGAGCCUGUCCAUGCGCUGGAUCGUCCAGGCGGCCAGGAACCGGUUCAAGGCCAAGAAGAAGAUGGGCAUGCCCAAGGCGCUGGCGGACGAGCUGCUGGAUGCGUCCAAGAGAAGCGGCGCGGCGAGGAAGAAGCGGGAUGAUCUCCACCGGCUGGCCGAGGCGAACAGGACGCUGGCGCACUAUCGGUGGUGGUGACGGUCAAUCCAAAGCUUGACAAUCCAAAAGCUGGUGGAUUCAUCCAUCCAGAAGUUCUGGUUGACACAGCUCUCCUUUCUCCGAGAUCACAUUUUCACCGUUUUGGCGACAAUUGGAAGAAAAACUUGUUUCGUUCUUGCUAUAUACCACAACACUUCGCCUCCAUGACGUGCUGCGUGUGCUUCGUCUUCAAGAAUCCUCCAACUUUUCUCACAUCUAUGUUUAUAGGAACAAUCCUGCCAAAUAGCGGCCAACUCUUUGACAUGCUACAUCUCAACAUAGCAAGUGUUUACAUUUGCAACACAACCAUGUCUCCUAAAAUACAAAUGCAUGAGCAGCUCCUUAGCACUGCUCCUCCUGGCCCGGAAAGAUUGAUCAUCCUGUCAAUCGAAAGCUUGAAAAUAAGAAUCACAUACUAUUUGUGGUGUCAAACCGCCAGAUAUCCUGCCAUGACUACCGCGUCUCUAGGAGGAUCAAGCUCUUGUUUUUGAGCUCGUCAAGCUCGAGGUACUAGCGGCUAUGGCGAUGGUGCUGAUAACUGGUUGUGCAGAGGGUGGAGUCUGCGGAUUCAAAGUUUACGCCGCCGUGCAAAGCUUGCGAGCUCUAAACGCUUCAGCUGGACGUGACGAGCGACGAGUCCGUGCCAUCCUCCGAGGACGUACGCCAGGCUCUGCCGCUAGCCGAGCUUUGCUUUCCAAGUAAACUUCUUGAGGAUGUUCCAGGCAGUGGUUCCCAACAUGGCGAAGCAAAGGCAGGGCCGGAUCAUCAACGUCGGCAGGAUGUUCUUCGCUUGGAGCUGGCGCCACUGGGAUCCAGAUGGUGUGGAUCAUCCCCGGCUCCCAGCUUGGAGCUGUGGCCUAGUGGAAAUGUAUAUUUUAUUUUGUACUUUUAGAUACUUAAAAAUAAUUGAAAAAUAAUAUACUAGAACAAUCUUUAAUUUAUGGCAUGCAAAUCCAAAUAAACAAAUGGGGCCCACCCUAAAUAAAAUGGUUGUGCAUUCUACUUAAUAUAUCUUUCUUGCAGCGCUUCCACUGGUUUGUCCGGCAUGCAUUUUGUGCAGGCCUCCUGUACCCUAAAACCUCCAUGGCUAAGAUCUCUCUGAUUUGCAUCUCAAACAUAGCGGUAUCCUUGUUAGCCAGCUUAGGAAAAAAGCAACAGCAGAUGCCCCCACAGACUUUGCAAGCAGCACCUCACCAUCUCUGAUUAGGGAACCAAGAACCCUAAAGCAUUUUAUACUGUCCAGCGGCAAAGGGGCAACUGAUCGGUACGAAAUGUGAAAUAUGGAGCCGAAAUCAAUCAAGAGCGUCUCAUGAUGCCUUCUUUGUGGCAGCCAGAAGAAGCUUGGCAGCACACAAGAAUACUUUUGAGCAUGGCUGGCCACCUGUUCAUGACACCAAAGUUCCUCGAGAUACUCUGCCAAUCGUUCAAACCUCCACACAAAAAAUUUCCAUGCAUGUUUUUAGACAUUCCCAAGAUUCUGGGUUUCUAAUUUCUGGUUCCGUGCUCCACAAACAUUUGAUGUUGCUCUUCACCUUUAAUAGCUUACAACCUCGACAUAGAAACCACAGACAUCUUAUUGUUCCGGGUAGCACCCAUGACAGUUACCAAGAUUUCGUUGAAGGGUUUAAGUUACAAGAUUGGAGUUGCCAUUCUUGAUGAUGGUAUGGGUUUGUUUACAUAAGUUUGCAUGAAUGAAAUCUCCUAUCUUUGUGUGAUUGAUCUUUCCAUCAAGUGAGUAGUAAAAUACAUUAAUGCCUUUGUGGAGUGGGAAAAGGAAAGUAUGAGUCUGUGUGAGAGAUUUUAGAGUUUUUUUUGUUCUUGGGGUAGUCACUCUUACAAUUUAUCCUUUAAUAUAUGCAAAAAGGGUUUCUUAAAUAACAUGCCUAAACGCAAUAAACCAAAUCUAUACAUAAUGUGAGAAAUUGAUAAAGUUAAUAUUUUACCAUAAGAACAACAUAAUCCACUUGCUUAUAAAAACUAUUACACUCAAUGCCCACUUUUGCACUUGCCUCCACACUCCAAUCAUUUGUAAUUACCUUUUCACCAAUUGAUUGUUAACUAAAUUAAGUGUGAGAAAUGACACUUGUGGGAGCGAUCGAUGCACCAUGCUUUACAUUAAUGUAUUGCAAUCAAAAUAUAUUUCUAACCCACAAGAAAUGAGGUAAAACUGCAUGAAAUGAAAAAUAAAUGUAUUUGACAUCAUGUUGUUUGAGAUCACAUGGCAUCAAGUCUUGAGUGAGUUUGAUGUCUACAUGGCAUAUCUCAUGACAAAAAUAUUAUAUAUACAAUCACAUUUUAAUUGAUUUUAUAGCCAAUUAAAAAUUUAUUUUAUAAAUUAUUUUAAAAAUCAAUUAAAAGUGAUUUGUGUGCAUAAUAUUUUAUAUAUAUAUAUAUAUAUAUAUAUAACACUCCCAAUGUGCAAUCACAUAUUCAUAGUUAUACCAUUUGCCUUUUUCCAUUCUAUUAUCUACACAACCAUCCUUAUUUGCAGCAAUUACCAAACUUUGUGUAUUAGUAAUUUUUUCCCCUCCAAAUAAGUUCAACUAUUCCAUCUAACAUUUGGAAAGGUACUUUAUACCAUACUCAAAGUACCCACUUGUAUCAAAAGCAUUUGUAGACACAAUAUCCCUUAUAUCUAAAGUCACAGAUAUUUUUAUCUUUACAAUGAAAAUUAUCUAUAGUAAUAGUUAAAUUUGAAGAAAUUGUUUUUUCCUCAAAACAAAUGUUUGUGUAGCACCAACAAGGAAUUUUAUCUUUCCCUUGCAAAACUAAGUGAUUAUAUGCUCCACAAGUCACUGUACCUUUCAUUGUGAUAAGAGAUAUGUUUCAAGUCACUGCAGCACCUGUUUAGGUAUGGAACCAUACACUCAAUCCUAGCUGCAACUUCUUUAUUCUCUUUCAAAACUUUCCUCAUCUAGAACUGUAAAAGUCUUCUUCCCAAAACAUCUUUGCAUAGAAAUGGUAUCACCCAUCAGCUCGUUUUCCACAUGACAUUUCCUUCACUGCCUACUAGUGAUGUACACAUCACAUCUCCCCUCCAAGCAUUCUUCACAAUACGCUGAUCGCAUGCUUUAGACUUAACAUCCAUCAAGAUCUGUGGGCCGUCGAAAGCUGUGCAAAAGCUGCUCCUGGUCCAGGAAAGAUGCCACUGCGCAAGGACUGACUGUCACUCUUGAUUCUAUUGACAGGAUGACCAAGUCCAGCCCAGUGGAUGAAAUUUUAUAUCAGCCAGAAGUUCUUAAACAACAAAACAAAGAAAAAGGUCAUCAUUGACUAUUGGUGGGAUCCAACGUUUUGUGUCAGCUUGGUGGUGGUGGAUCCAUUCAUGAUCAUCCAAAAGCUCUUGAUGGUGGAUUCAUUCAUCAAAGUUACGGUUCCUAGAUCACGACUCAUGAGGGUUGAAAGUCUGAGGUUGAAUCAAACUUCUCAACUGGAUCUGCCUUCCCCCUUUUGUUAGAUUUGAUGGAUGAAGAUGGGCAGCUUUUCCAGCGAUUUGGGAUCCAGGCCGAAGUGUCUGUCUUCUUGCUUUCACCAGAAAAGAGAACCAAGACACUGGGACGAUUGCAAGAAAAACUAUUCUCGCUAUAUACUACAACGCAACACUAUCAAACGCUCAAAGACAAGCCGGAGACACUGUUUACCAGGAAGCUCUCGGGUUUGCUGCUCCCAACAACGCGGAAAACUAUCUCCAAAUCCGGCCUCACUCUCGCCUCAAAGACUUGCUGGGCAUGCUUCCUCUUCAAGAAUCCUCCAGCUUCUCUCACAUCUCUCGCCGUGCAUAAGAGCUUCACUUCCAUGUUCAUCCCAAAUAGAAAUCCUGCCACAGUGAGAUAAAACUGUUAGCUCUAGAAACUCGAUCUACAAAGCCAAGAAAACUUGACGCUAGAAAAUCUUCUAGAGAAAUGGAAAGAGGUAAAAAACCAAUCCAGAGCGUACCAAUUGUGUUUCGCAGCCAACUCCUUACGUGCUGCAUCUCAAUAUAGCAAGUGUUGGAACGCUUCACGUUUUGCAAGGCAAGCAUGUCCUCGGGCCGGCCCCUGAAAUACAUGAAGUCUCCCACAGCAAUCCCGCCUCCCUCGAGAUACAAUCUUGAAACAGGUAAAACUUUCGUGUUAGAAAAACCAUAUGAAAACAAGUAGAAGAAGGGAAAUUAUUUCUUACUUGUCCCAAGUUGGCGCGGUGCUGAGGAUGUACUUGAGCUGCUCGUGUGUCGUGUCCUUGCCGUUCAAAGUCGUCAAGAUACUCCUGAACCAGCUCUCCUGGCUCACCUCCUGGUCCAGGAAAGAUUGCCACUGCUCCGAGGUGAGAACUUCUGGCUGAUACAAAAUUUCAUCCACUGGGCUGGAUUCGGCCCGUCAAUCAAAAGCUAGGAUCAAAGAGUGAAAGUACCUGCAGUCUGGAUUGAUCAAAAAGACUUUAUAGUCGAUAAAAUCCGUGGGGAGUUUGACACCCCUUCUCGCAAUGUAUGCCUCGAGCAGUGAUGCGCGGAACUUGGUGUCCUCAACCUACGCAUAAUAGAGUUUAGUGUAAGAAAACUUGUCCAAGUGAAAAAGAAAAACCAAAGAACUUACAACAUCUGGCAGUGUAUGCGUGGUGCCAUUUCUCCUAAUCUGACACCAGCUCCCAUCGCGCUGGAUUUUCACAGUCCCAGCCCAGUUUUUCACUUCAAUCACAUAAAUCUUCCUGGAAAGAGAUCAAGUCAUCAAAGAAGCAACAAAGAAAAACUUUACUUUUUGGUGAGUAUGACCAGAUCAAUCUCUCUCCGACCCUUGCGCUCGCUGUCAGGCACCCGCAGCGACUGGAAGACCAGCGCGCCAGACACGCCUUGGAAUCUACAUGCGCGCCGUGAAGAACGAUCCACAACAAAAAAGAAAAAGAAUCUCACUCACAGCAGCGCUACUUCGAGCUCGCCUAGCCGCCCCGCCCUGUCCGAUUCGUUCUCGGAUUCCCUCUGGGGCCGGGACACAUCGCGAAUCUGCCGGACCCCAGCCAGCAAAUGGAUCGCUGUGGCCGCCAAAGUGCGCAGAACUUCCAUGAAAAUAUCUCCACAUUGCAAGAACCCUAAAAUCCAGGCGGGCUCGACGUUUGGAAUUCGAGCCCGGGACCUCUAGAGCUCCAAUCACUGUUGGGCACGUGUCGAAGCUACCAGCCCAAUUGGCAGUACACGGUUAGCUCAUUUUUGUGUAAUCUGGACUCUUCCGCCACGUGGCAGAAUCAUCAUUUGUCCCCGUUCACACGGCUAUCUGGGCCCCGAAACUUAUCAUACUGGCGAGCGCUUAAGCGUAAUAUAAUCGGAUUUUCCGUUCUUCGUUCUCCCUUGUGGCGUCCUCCGGCUAGGGCGCUGUGGAUUGCGAGGGCGCGCCCGUCGCGGCUAGUGCACAGGCCGGGCAUAAUGCGAUCCAGAAGUGGCUAGGCGAUCGCGCGAGUUUCUUGGUCGAUCAAUCCACAAGGUAUUAGGGUUCUAGCGCAGAUUGCUCUAGGCGGUGUUAAUUGGAAUUUUCUUAGCAGAAGCUAUGGCGGAUCAUAGUCCGCCGCCUGUGGCGGGAGAGAUCGACACAACUGCGCCGUUUGAAUCUGUCAAGGCCGCCGUGAAUCUCUUUGGGGAGAUCGCCGAUUCUAAAGCUUUGAAGUUUCCUAGUGCCGAGGUACUCGCUUAGAUUUUUUUCUCUUUUUUCUUCGUGUGAUCUGAUAAAUUCUCUGUUUUUCUUCUCAGAAGCGCGCAUCGCUGGAGCUCCAGCAGCUUCGCGAGAAUUUGGCGGCGACCAGACAGCAGCUCUCUCAAGCGCAAACGUCCAAAAACGCUCUUUUCCAGGAGCUGCUAGAGACCAAGCGCCUUGUCGAGUUUAAAACUUCUCAGCUCGCCAACGUUUUAUCGUCCAAGCCGUCGAGUUCAGAGGUCGUCCGCCAGGCGGAAGAAACGUACACGCAGAUCGAUGCUGUGUCAAAUGUUGUCCAGGAGAAAUACGAGGAGGCAGUCGCGAAUUUGGCCACCACGGAAAUGGAGGUUGAAAGGCUAAAUGCUGAGAUAGAGAGCUCGGUGGCUGCGCUGGAGGAGCAGCAGCAAGGCCAUCAAGGUGAAGAGAAAAACUCGUUUUUGGCAGAGAACGCAACAGAACCUCCACAAAUCGUAGAUAACACGGAGGGGCUUAAGAACGAGCUAGCUGCGACAAAAGAGUCCGAAGAGAAGCUGCUGGAGGAGAUCGCCGGCUUGAGAUCCAAACUCGACAAGGCGAAAGCCGAGGUAGAAGAAGCUCGGGUUUCAGAGACGAAGGCUACGAAAGCUGCAGGCGACGCGGCUCAGGAGCUCGCAAAUUUGAGAUCGAAACUAGACACUUUGGUGGAGGAGAAGAACACGCUCGCCGCUCUUUCCGAGUCGCUGCGAGACCAGCUCGUCAAGGCAAAGAUGGAGCUGGAAGCUCUCAAAGACGCUGCCGAGUCCGAGGCCCUGCCUUCGUCAAGCGCCGCGGCGGAGCUGCAAAAGGUCCGAACCGAGCUCGCAGCACUGGUUGCGCUGGAGGCCAAGGCAAAAGACACAAUCGCUGGAGUUUCACAGGCUUUACAAAAGGUGACGUUUGAAGCGGACGAGUCCCGGCUAGCCGCCGAGGCCGCUCUGGAGGAAGCCCACAAAGCAAAGCAGGAGCUCGAGGAGGCCAAAGCUGCGGCAUUUACAGCCGAGAGCCGGCUCGAGGCAGCGACGAGGGAGGCUGCGGCUGCCAAGGCCGGCGAAAGCAUGGCUCUCGCUGAACUAAAGAUGCUCUACGAGAAGAAAUCAUCGGUGGAAGAUAUCAGCUCUCCCAGCGACAAGGAGGCGCUCGGCAAAUCAAAGAAAGAGUGUGACAACCUCCGGAAAAGGCUCCAGGAGGCGGAGGAACUGGCGGAGAUGAAAGUAGCGGCGGCGCUGGCCAAAGUUGACGCUGCAAAGGCGAGCGAGCGGGAGAUCCGAGCGAAGCUGGAGGCCGUCCGGGGCGAAGUCGAGACGAACAGAUCGAUGGCGAAGCAGGCGCUCCACCGCGCCGAGACGGCCGAGGCAGCGAAGUCGGCGAUAGAGAACGAACUGAGAAGAAGACGCAGGCCCGCGGACCACUCCACUGGAGUGGCUUCGUCGACGACGUACAGAGGAGGAUCUCCCUUGCAAGCCGGAGCGACGGUGCAAACUCCGGACCGAAGGAUGGAGCCGCUACACCAUCACACGAUGGCGAGGAGGAGCUUGGACUACACCGCGACCGAUCACAGCUUCGUCUCGGCGGACGUCUCGGCCGAGUCCAUCGCGCAGCUCCUCCAGCUCAAAGUUUCGCCGCUCAAGACGUCGCUGCCGAUCGCGGAGAAUCCCGAGAAGUCGGACAAGUCGGAGAAGAAGAAGAAGAGCAAGCCGUUUAUGAAGCUGGGAUCUUACUUGAGCAGGAGGAAGAGCUCAGUUGGAUCCACUUCUCCCAGGAUGUGAGCGAGCGAGCUCGCGAGAUCGCGCGCAUUGGGGUGGAGUGGAGAGAUUUUGGUCGCGGCUUCCCACAAGUUUGGAAGAAAGACAAAGGAGCGCUUCCGAGAAGCUUGGAAGAACAAAGAUUUGCCAAAAGCGCGAAGAAAAACUACACACACAAAGUUACAAACUAAGAAAAUGUGGAGGUAAUGUAUUAAAUUUUUUGGUGUUGUUGUAUUGCUGUGAAUAAAUCUAAACCAUGGAAUAGAUCGAGACACGUGGGUGGCCAGUAUUAUUUCGUGGCGGAUGAGGAGGGAAAAACAUAUUUUAGGGCUCUUCCACUUCCAGCUCGUGAUCUCGCGAGCAAUGACGCUCAUCAAUCUCUUCAGGAGGUACGAGCGCUGGAAUCCCGUGCAUCCCACGUAUGGCGCCUUCUGGGGGAUUGGAUUCGGGCUGGGCUGCGGCGUGGGAUGGGGGCCGGGAUUCGGCCCCGAGGUCAUUGGCUAUGUCGGCUCUGGAUGCGGCGUGGGGAUCAGCGUGGGAGUGACAAUGGUGGGAGUUGGAGUUGGGCUUCCCGCUGGCGGCCUCGCUUGCGUCCCUUCCGACGGUAUGUUCUUGGUUUUCAGCUCAAUUUCUCGAUCUAGUUUGCUAGAAUUCCUGCAUUUUCUGCCUAGCUCUAUCCUUCCACAAGGAAAGUGCCUGUUUGAGCUCGAUUUCUCUGCCUUGCUAGUAAGAAUCUCCCACGAGAAAGAAAGGCCGGAUCUCCAAUCUCCGAGAAACUCGUGUUUCUCUCAGGAAAGAUUGGAGCUGGAGCUUUGAUACAAUCCCUGCCUUACUUUUUUCUUUGGCUCUUGAUUCUUUGCAGAUGUCUCGUAGGAAAAGUCCUAGUUUUCAUGACGAUACUGCUCAUCUAGGUGGAUGCUUGUGUGUGAGUUACUCUUAAAUUUCGGUGAAAUCAGUGUUUCUUCCUUUUUGUGCUUCCAUGUGUUUGAUGAUCGCUUGUACGCUAACGUUUACCAGUCAUUUCCUGCUUUUGGGCUUCUAGAGUUCUCACUCAUGCCUUUUCUUCUUUGCAGUGGUCUCAUACGCGGGUCACGGGAUCAUGGAUUUCACAAAGUCGACCGCAGCUCCAGCAGCAUCGAUCGCUGUAAAGCGGGGAUGGAGUGCGUUGUGUCUGCACAUAGGAACAGCUCUAGAGCGAGGUCGACUCGGGCAUUCCAGUCGCAAGAGCUACAGUCUCGAUGAGUUCCAAAGGCAAUCACUGGUGGCCCUGAGGCAAGGCUGGGAUUCAUUCAGUGGCAAAGUCCGGAGUGCCGGAUUGUCUCGCUUGCGGCCAUGCAAUGCCGGUCUCUUGCAGAGCGAUUCUAAUAGUAACCAGAGUGAGAGACCGCCUCCACCAUCUUAGUGCUUCUUCUUGAGUUGAUAGGAUUGAUUGCUAACUUCGGUUUUGUACGUAAGCUGUUCCAUUUUCCUGUAAAUAAUAAUAUUAGAAUUAGUGAUUUUGUUUUUAUUCGAAGAACUGACGUUAUGGCGAAUAAUCAGCGAGGACGAUCAAGACAAAGAAAGCAAUUGAUUGAGCAAAGCAGUGAUUGGCUCUUGCUCGAGCUUCAAGUUCUCGUCGGUCGCGUAAACCACGCAAGCCUGAGCCUUGGAAUGAAAAAUUUGCGAAAGAUUGUCAAUGGUGUUUGGAAAUAAGUAAUUACAGUUUUAUAACUUAAAAACUGACUCCCAUGACAAGCCGAGGAGAAAGAAGACGAGGUGAUUGCUUUUGUUCAGUUCCACUGCUUGAGAAGGCAAAUCUUUGUCCUCCGUCGUGAAAAUGCUGGAUGGAUUGGAAGAAGUUCCACUGUCGCCCAAGCUCUUCCACAAUUCCGAUGAAGAUCACUCCUGGAGAAAAGGUUCUUUAUGUACUCUCCAAACAGGCAAGAUUUGUAGGCUGCUGGAUGCUCCGAGUCUACAAACUUGUGAAUCGGAGAGACUAGAAUAUUACGAGCUGGAUUGCGUGGUGUGCCUCAAAUCCAAACGUGGCACUGUUAUCACUGGAGCUACCAAAGAAAGCCACAUCAAAGCUUAGAUCUUUCUUCUUUUUUUUUCCAGCUUGUCGAGAACGUGAAGGCGCUGGACGAGCUCUAUUGGUGAUAGAGGUCAUGAAAAUUCCUGGUAAAUAAAAAACUAGAAGUCGUCGCCUGAGAGAUUCGAACUCUCGCGGGGAAACCCCAUGUACUUAGCAGGCACACGCCUUAACCACUCGGCCAAAGCGACACUUGAUCAGAAAGUCCUUCCACUGUAAACAAUCGUCUCGUCCUUUUUAUCUUCAAAUUCUCAUGAUCGGGUAGUUUUUCUGUGAUAUAGCCCCUAUAAUGUCCAGGUUCGUUUCCAUUGCACAAGAAAAAUCGAUUAGCACUUUGAAUCAUCAUAUGACUUCAAUCAUGUUGGAACAAAUGCUCUCAAAAAGCUGAAUCUCACAGAAAAGAGAGUUUACCUUUGACUUGUGAGAAAGCCAGUGUGUCCAUUGGUUUGUAAGGGUGUGCUCAUGUUUGGAAUGUCCCUAUUUGGUCUUUGUUUCUCAUACUAGUCCGAGAGCUUUCUCUCGGGUGGAGGCAGCAAUCCAUCUUCAUCCUCUUGCCGUCCUUGGCGAGUGUUAGUGAAGAACUUCUUACGAACCUCACGUGGAAUAGUUAAUCUAGAAGCGUAAAAACUUUACCGUGUAACCUUAGCUGACUAGCUCUAGAAGACAGGGUUUGAGAAAAGCUUUUUAUACACAUUUUGUGUUUUUCCAUUCAAUUGCUGUAAGCGUAGGCUACUAUGAUCCCCACUGAGGUCAUUUCCGUUUUGAGCAUAAGCCGCGAUCAGCGUUCCAGGCCACCAGGAGCUGGCUAGAAGACAUAAAAGCAGCGUCAACCUGGUUGCGAGGUUAGCCCCAAGCAUCGAGCAAGCAGCAAGAGCUCCAGCGCAAGUCCGGUUUGAUCCCUGCGGAGCUCAUCUCCCUGUAUAGCCGAAUCACUUCCGAGCUAGCUGGGCGUAAGCUGCCAGCAUCGCGUUCCAGCAGUUUGCGCUGGGCUGACUUGCCUGAAAACUAGGCACGUGAGAUCCAGCCUCCUGCACCUUGCGGACAUGGAGACUAGCGCAGCCUCCAUAGAGUAUGACUAUACCUGUCUCCCCUAGGUCUGGACUCCUUCCAUGAUCAUCAGCCGGUAGAGCGUCACCACCUUGAAAGUACGCCUAGAUCAAAAUCCAUCCUCCAAAUCCCUGAGCUCCAAACAGGCACUUGACAAGUGUUCCACACCUUGACCACCUUUGCAUCCUUGUAGAAAAUCUCACUCGAGCCUGCCACACGUGUUGAUGAGUGCCGCCACAGUGAAAGUCGUGUCGCUGGCUUUCAAUCCGAAAUCCUCGUAGAGAUGUCGUUGGUCGAAUCUGCCCGCCUUGGGCAUAUGCCGCGAUCAUCAAGUUCCCUCUAUCCGAUCGAGGCCUCUCGCAACCUCCCAGCGCGAAUACAUCUUCACGAACCCAACGUCCACAACUAUCCCGGAACCCGGUACCAUCAAUUCACGAGUCUUUCACUCUAUAUAUAAGCUAUUUCUGACUGUGGUGCGUGAUUCCUGGAAAUCUGAGCAGAUCAAUAAUUGCUACUUUCCACAGUCUGGGCCUGGAUGAAAGCAAAAAAAUCUCGUUCCCAAGAAAAGAGAAAGCAGCCCUUGCUCUUCUGUUCUGUCCCGGUCGCAUUCUCCUUCCCAAAGGCGACAACCAGUUGGACUUUCGAAAACGGUGAGAAUUUUUUCUGGCUAAGCUCGUUGUCGACAAAAUUUUAUAUAAUUUAACAUGCACAUUUCUUAUCAUCCAGCUUGACCUUUUUGGCCAUCAAACUUUGCUCUGCUUCUUCCUGAUCGCCUCGCCUUCGCUUCAAGCUCGGCUCCAAAACCAUCUUCUUCGUCUCCAGAUUAGGCUCGCCACCCCCCUCCACCAAAUUAGACAAUUUCUGUUGUCGUGCAGAAUGCUUGACUACCCAUGGAUGCUUCUCAAUUUCAUGGAUUGGCAGCCUCUUUCUCGGGUUCAAGUGGAGCAGCUGGAGAAUGAGAUCUUUGGCUUCCUCGGUCACAUCCGUCCAGUCAAGAGAACUCAACGGCACAUCCUCCCUCCCCAUGCAUAAUGCAAUCGUCCCAGACAAUAUCUCGUACAAGACAAUGCCCAUGCCCCACACAUCUACCAUCUCAUCAUACUCAUCAGAAUUCACCAUCUCCGGGGCACUGUACAUUUGCGUCCCAGCCAAGUUGCUCAUUCUAAAUUUUAUGCCUGGCCCCUCGCUCAACCAACGCACUCCAAAGUCUGCCAAUUUUACACUAUCGAACUUCUCCUCAAACCCUGUUGUCAGUCUUGAUGUCCCUGUGAGCCAUGCCCAUGUCAUGCAUUUUUCCCACAGUCCUAGCCACAUUCUUGAUCACCACUGCUGCCUCAUGCUCGCUCAGUUUCUUCUUUUUCAACAACACCUCAGUCAACGAGCACUGGCAUUGGUCCAUGAGGAGGAAAUAGUGAUCUUCGUCCUUGAAAACAUCCACUAGUUGAACCACGCCACUCCUCUCUUUACUCUUGGAGAGUUUUGUGAGUACUCUGAUCUCCAAUUCAGCUUGGUCUUCAAGAGUAGUCGACUUGCAAGCAAACAAUCGACCAUCACUCUUACGUUUCACUUUGUACACAAUGCCCUCCCCGACCCAAUUCCUUUUCCACCGAGAACAAGUCUCUUAUGCUUGCCUGGUUAAACUCCAUUGCCUCCAUGGAUCGCACGAGUGCCCUUUGCUCGUCCAUCAAUCUCUUUGAUUCAGUGCUCUCCCGUUCCUGCUCUUGUGGGAGAGGCAGUUUAAGUAACUCAUAGAGCUCCUCUUUCACCGAGUAACCCAUCUAAGUCGAUUCCUUGAAACUGAGCGUCAAGCGCCAUCCCUUGAAAGUUUCUUUAGCCCUACUCUUGCUUUUUUAUAAAUUUUUAACUAACAUUUUCUUUUAUACAAAAAGGCUAGAACAUGAAUCUUCUCACUUUUCUGACCAAAUGGUCAAAUGCUUAAUUUUAGAGCUCGAAGACAAUUUUCCUUUAGGAACUUUUCUCCCUUGAAUUCCCGUAGAACAGUGUCUGACUAAAAGACAGCUGCCAAGGAAAUAACGGUGCCUGCGAGCCAAACAAUCUCAGUGGCGUUCAAGGAACAUGGACCUUUAUACUGCAGUGCUUGCAUCUGUUCCAAAUCCGCGAGCGCUUCCACUUGAGCCUCCAAACUCCUGCCCUCCCAGAGGGGUUUCUGUGUCUAGGACUAUAACAACGGACAAACAUGAAUGACAGUCCAAUACCACACUAGCAUGUCUUUUAAAUCCGAGAUGGGUUCAGACGAGAAAGUUCCGUCUCCUAGUCUGGUGUAAUUAGAUUCGUGCCUAAUUCUGUUUGUUUCGUCAAUGCUUGAUCAUGCUUGAUCGAUCUUGCUCGAUAUGGCGAUGAGCGACUGCAAUGUAUUAGUUUUCUGCAACAGUGUAUUGAUUUAGCAUGAUGCAGAAAUUAAUAUUCAAAUGCCAAACACCUUUUCAAUGUCGUGAAUUAGAGAAGCCUCCAGCUUUUACAAAUUAGAGAUAUCACUCUUAAGCUGCUUGGGCAACGAUUUAUGAUGCGAGCGCGUUGCUGCCAGUUUCGGUAAACACUUGGUUGAUCUUCUGAUCUAUAUGCGUGCACCUGUUAAGAAAAAAAAAAACCAAGUUAAAUGCGUAAAAAUAUUUUUUUAAAAACCAUCUCCAUUUUCACUAUUGUCAUGGACUUGAGCUUUAACCGUAGCAUGAAACAAACAACAAGGUGCUAACCUUCUAUAGUGCUGCAACGAAUAAAAAUUGUGGCGACGUGGGGGUCCAGCAAAUUUUAUAUCCUUCCAAUCGUCUAUACUUGUCCAAAUGCUUUGUGUCAAACCUCAACUUCUUGAGGAGAAGAACCACAUCCGAAUAAGAUGCUCUGAUUUCCACAGAGAUAUUGUCAGUAUCAAUUCCAAACUGCAAACAAACUUUAAGUUUCCAGAGAGAUAGAUAGACAUUUUUACAGUCACCACAGCGCCCGGGACGCUACUACCUCUAUGACUAUUUCUUACUCUCCCUCUCCUCCAUCCAAAACGUUGGACACAGUGAUCAAGCAAUGUAUAGCAAGAAGAAUCUCGGUGGUAACCAGUUCUCCAAGUUUUCGGGUCCUCAAGGUGUCCUUCUAAAGGUGUGCAUUUUUUUAAAAUGCCAUCUUGUUGUCCGUAUACAUGCUCUCUCUCAGAGUUCGAGCCAGUGUUUAUUUAGUCGUCUCUGCGGCUUGUUUCGUCUUGUCUCUCAUCUACAAGAUUCGUCUCAACACCACAUCUUUGAUUCCAGAGUUUUUAUUUACCUGCUGGAGCAUAUUUCCUGAGCAGUGCCUUUCAUAUCCUGCACAGCGACAAUCUCCGAAUGAAACGAAGAAGGAGAAUAAACAGAAAGAAACAAUAAGACUUCACCUCUUUCUUCUGAUCAGCUUGGAGAGGUUUCUAAGCAUGAUUUCUUCUUGCUUCAGCUGCAAGUUAUUUAAAACUAAUUACCUUUUAUGAUAUAUAUAAAUUAAGCCUCCUUUUGUGAGUAUAAAAGAUCUCAAAGAACUACUAGGCCUUUCUCAUUCUUUUAGUCAGUAAAAGGGCAAUGGAGUAUAAUUGUCAAAGAGAUUGUUGAAGAAGUGUAAGAGGCAUGCUGAAGACAAUAAAAACAAACUCAAACAUCAUCAAUUUGACAUAGAGCAUAAGGAUUAUAAGUCUUCAUUCACACCUUUUGACUUGGAGGCAAAUUUGGAUUCUUUGUAUAAGAAAUGAUAAAACACCCCAAGAGGAGGCUUCUUAAAUGGAUGGUCCAUAUAUUAUAUUAUAAUAAUUAGUGUGUGUGUAUGUAUGUAUAUAUGUAUAAAUGUAUUUAUAUGUAUUUACAGAUUUUAUAUUUUCAUUAAAAAACUGAGUAAAUUUUAGAAAUUAUUAUAUUUAUAUAUUAUUACCAAUUUUCAUGUUAUAAAUUAUUUAAUAUUUAAAAUAAACCAAACAUUAAAAAAAUUAUUAAUAUUAACUUUUAUAUAAAAAUAUUUAAUAAUUUACAACUUAUUGUAAUUCACUUACAAACUUUAUGAGAUACAACUAUUAAAAAAAUAUUUCAAUUUUAAUUUAUUAUAAGUCUAUUAAUUUGUAAUUUUUAUAAUAAGUUAUAAACUAUAACUUAUAACUAUAAGGUAGUAUUACUGUUUUUUUUUACAAAAAUUUUAUCAAUCAACUAUGCCAAACAAAUAUCUCUUAAAUAAAAAUGUAUUUUCUGAUGUUUAACUUGUAAAUUAAUAGUUAAAACACUAAAAAUUUAUAGGUAUAUACAUUGGUAUAAUUAUAUUUAUAAUAUAUAUAAAUAAAUAAAAAUAAAAACUCUUUUUAUAUUAAAAAUUUAAUAUUUUAAUUUUAAUUUGUAGUGUGAGGGCUAAGUGUACAGCUACAAUGCCGUAUACUAAUAUUAGCAUAGUGGGAUUUUGGUAGCCGUCAGAUGGGUUUCAAUCCGGACCACUUGCUCCUGUAUAUAAGCUAGGGUUUUUGGGCUAAUUGAUAUGCAUAUUUCUGUAUUCCCUUUCCAUAUUCCAUGCACUCACAUUGGUGGACGUGAGGGGCACCUUUGAUUGUCCCUGGGGAGUGCUUAAAUUUGGGAUUUCAGUUUAGAUCUAGCUUUUACAUUGUCUAGAUCUAGCUUUUUCCAUUUCCUUUAUUUUGUUCUUUCCUUUCAGGAUUUUGGUUUAGAUCUAGCUUUUUGCAUUGUUUAGAUCUACCAUUUCCUUCUAGCUUUUUGUCAUUUCUCUUCUUUUGCGCUUUCUUUUUCAUUCGUCUCCAUGGCAGAUCAGCAAUCUCCUCCUUUGACUCUAGAGCAGCAGUUGGUACAAUUGCUUGAUGCUAUGCGUUUGCAAUUGAGCAACCAAACUCAGUUGAUGGCGGCGUUCAUGGCACAUGGUACAACUCCUCCUGCUCUUGGUGCCAAUCCUUGUGUUCAGCCAGAGUUCUUUCGCGGGAAUCCUGGGGAUGAUGUGUACCACUGGUUUGAUCACUUUACAGUGAUUACCACAUAUCAUUCUUGGGAUGAUGCUUGACGUUUGUGUGAGUUUCUCACGUGUCUCCAAGGGACGGCAUUGCAGUGGUACAACGGUUUAGGAGCAGCCACUCACGGGGAUUGGAGUGUUCUUCCGGAUGUCUUCAAACGCACCUUCAGACAUGCCGAUGACUGUGAUGAUGCUUUCUAACAAUUGCAUUGUCUUCACCAAGGGCCAUCUGAGUUGGUGAUGCAAUUUGGUGUUCGUUUCUGAAGUCUUUUGCUUCGUGUGGAGCCAAAUAUGUCAGAGCGGAUCAAGUUAGGAAUGUUGUGGCUAGCACUUUGGCAAGAUCUUGUCGGACUUGUGCAUGCACUUGCUCCCGCCACCCUUGACGAUGCUCUUCGCUUGGCACAACGUUAUGAUACGUCGCCUCUUCCACUUCUCGCUCCUUUAGCUCCACUUUCUAUGGGUGAUGGUCCUGUUCCAAUGGAGGUUGAUGCUGCUACUGCUCGAAUCCAAGGUCAAGGGCGAGGACGUGGUCAUGGCCGUGAUGUUCGUUGCUGGGCAUGUGAUGAAUUUAGUCAUACUUAUCGGCGUUGUUGGCAUUUUCCGGAUUGGCGACCUUCAUUUCCUGGGUGGAGACCUUGGCAUCAGCAAUGUCCCGUUGGUGCUGCUACAAUGGAAGGUUUGGACACCGAGAUGCAUUCGGGAAACGAGGAGUUCCGCGAGUAAUGGAGGGACCUUGCGCGAAUAAGUUAGUGACCCCUCCAUAUUUCUUUCAGGAGUAUCAUCAAGGGGUUCACUCAGCACCAGUUCAUCCAGUGUUUACUUUCCAAGCUCGUCUUUAUAACAAGAGGUCUCCUAUUAUUCUCUCCGUAUUGGUUGAUACAGGUUCGAGUUUAUCUUCUAUUGCUCGACCUGUUUCCACACGUUGUCGUCUACACUUGGAUCAUGCGGUAGAACCAGUUUUCAUUCUUUAUGGCAACGGCCAUACACAUGCAUGUGCACGGGAUGAGGCAAACCUAGUUGUGCGUGUGGGUGAUCUCGAGCUUGAGUUGUAGUAGUUGAUCGCACUGCACCAUUGCGAGCGUUACUGAAGUCAUCAACGUCAUCUUUCAUUUGGUCUCCGGAUUGUGAGCGGGUGUUCAGGGAUCUCAAAGAAUUAUUAACAACUCCUCCAGUUUUGGCAUAUCUUGACUACACUCGACCUUUUAUUUUGCGCAUGGAUGCUUCUGACAUUGGUCUUGGAGGUGUGUUAAUGCAAGAGAGCUCGAGUGUGCUUGGUCAGCGCCAUCCCAUUGCAUAUAUAAGCCGUACAUUAUAACCAGCGGAGAUGAACUAUACGAUAGAGAAGGAGUGUUUAGCAGCAGUCUGGUUCGAGAAACUUCAUGCAUAUCUACAUGGUUCUCGGAUAUUACUUGAAGGUGACCAUGCUGCUGUUACUUCGUUAUUAAAGCGGAAGAACCUGGUUGGUCGUACUGCUUAGUGGGCUUUGAAGCUUCAAAUAUAUGAUUUUGAUGUUGUUCACCGCCCAGGAAGUUCUAUGGUUGAUGUUGAUGCCUUUUCUUAAUCUCCUCUUCCUUCUUCACUCUCUUCUCAUGUUUCUGACGAGCCUGUCAUUCUAGCAUCUGUGGAUUUUCUAGACAAGGAUCCCGUGCCGUCGGCAGUUGUUGUACUUGACGUUCAAUGUCCACAAGGUGUAGAGCAAAAUCUACCUUCGCUUGAUACGGUUCGCGAGGCUCAAAAGAUUGAGCCAUGGAUUUGAAGGCUUCGGGAUGGGUUUGAGAAUCCGACAUCACUUGCUGAUGACUUGCCUUUCUGGCAUUUACAUUCUCAAUAUCGUUUUGAAGAUGGCCUUCUUUAUUUUGUGGGGACAGAUCCUGAUGAUCAUUUAUGGCUGGUGGUGCCUUUUAUCUUUAUUCUGUGGUUUCUCCAUGCCUACCAUGCUUCUCCUAUUUUAGGUGGGUAUAUGGGACAUUGUCAUGUAAUCGAGAAGCUACACAGGUUUUUCUAUUGGUCGGAGAUGUGACGUGAUAUUAUCUGGUAUAUGCGUAGCUGUGUUUGGUGCCAAGCUCGUAAUACUCCUCCUCGGGCUACGGAAGGACGGUUAGAGUCAAUUGCAGUUUCCCGUCUGUUUGAGUUGGUGGUGUUUGAUCUUAUGGGACCUUUUCCACGGUCGACUACUGGCAAUGAAUAUGUUAUUAUUGCUUCUGACUAUUUGACUCGUUGGGUGGAAAUUAGUGCUCUUGCUAGUGCCUCUGCAACUGCUGUUGGAUAUUUCCUCCUCAAUCGAGUGGUGUUCUAGCAUUCUUGUCUAGAGCGGAUUCUUUCAGAUAAUGGUCUCGCAUUUAUGGCUGAGGCAUUUCAUGUUUUGAUGUCUCGGUUGGGGAUUCGCCACACUUUCGCGAGUGCUUAUCAUCCACAAUCAAACGGUCUAGUGGAACGGCUUGUUCGGAUGUUCAAGGGGAUGAUUGUGAAGUAUGUGAACUUUCAGUAUUCAGAUUGGGAUGGUUAUUUGCCAUCUUUUCGGUAUGCAUAUAUCACUGGGGUGCAGAGUUCUGUUGGUGCUUCACCAUAUAAACUCCUAUAUGGUCAUGAUUUAAUAUUACCAACGGAGCUGGGUUUACCUUCGCAAUUGCCACGAGUUGCGGAUGCUAGGUCAUGGGAUCAAUAUUUGACAAGCAUUCUUCCACUUGUCCAAGCGGAGUCUGCCAAACACUUAAGCUGCGUACAAGUGGGACAACAACGGCGCUACAACUCCCAUCAUCGUCCACCUGCGGAGUACAAAGUGGAUGAUUUAGUGUUAGUCUAUUUUCCCCAUCUUAUGGUACGUGGUUUAUCUAAGGGGUGUAAGCGACUAAAUUUUCCAUUCUACUUUAGUCACUUAACCACACCUCCGACCACUUGGAGGAGUCUCAUUCACAACCUCCAUCAGUCCAAUUCAGGACUUGGGACUUGCUAGCCCCAAGAAUGGCAUCCAUGCCACUCCACACUUGCACCUGGUCCAAGUGCUCCACGUGCCCGGUCCUGAGACCGACACCCAAAGGUACCAUUGACAUCUCGGCCCGUUACGCUAAGGCCAUGCCCAUUCACCUUUGCUGCACUAGUGGUUCAACACCACUUGCAUCACCACCUCGUCUCUCCAAGACUGGGCCAUGUGUCCACGAGUGGUCAUCCUAGAUCCACUCCUUAGCAUCCUUAGGAUGCCCACAGACCUGGGGAAUUGCCUUCCCCAAAGUCCCUUUGUCAGUUCCUACCAAGUCCCUUUCUGCCCCUGGCCGUGUUUGCCAACACUGCCACUGGAUCGAGGCCCACAGGCCCGACCACUAAGUCCCACGGUCCUCUGGAACUUCCUCACCACAUGACUGUGUCCUUGGUCACUACCCCAGAGGACUGCUCCUCUUCCUUUCCACAGUCUGGGCCUUUGGGACAACAUUUCGGAACACCGUGGCCUUACGCGAGCCACCUGGGUACUCUCCCCACCUAUCGCCUUUAGGUGCUCUAGCCAUGGGCUUAGAGCGAGGUUCCAUUGAGCCACGCUUGGUAUCCAAGUAGGUAGUGCCAUCCACACUUGGACUGGGAGCAUCGGCCAGUCAAUCUCCCGGGGGAACUAGAGCCGGCUCUUGAACACUUCACCAAGCUACCCCGCUUGUCGGUCCGUAUUCACUCUAGUCUUGGACUUCCCAGUGGUCAGUUCAUCACCCAACACUGGGUCUGGCCUUCCUGGGCCAAACUGGCCUUUCCUGGCCAAACUGGCUCCACUGCAGUCCUCCCCCUACUAUACUUUUGGAGCUCACCAAACCCCCCAGGGUCUGGGAGACGAACGCUUUGGGCUUUCACCCUCUCAGGCUCCGGACUCGGACUCGGACUCGGACUCGGACUCGGACUCGGACUCGGAUUCGGACUCGGUCUCGGGCUCGGGCUCGGUCUCGGCCUCGGCCUCGGUCUCGGUCUCGGUCCCGAUCUCGGUCUCGGUCCCGGUCUCAGUCUCGACUUCGGACUCCUUCUCGGACUCCAUCUCGGACUCCAUCUCGGACUCCAUCUCGGACUCCAUUUCGGACUCCAUCUCGGGUCCAUCUCGGGUCCAUCUCAGACUCCAUCUCGGACUCCAUCUCGGGUCCAUCUCGGACUCCAUCUCGGACUCCAUUUCGGGUCCAUCUCGGGUCCACCUUGGACUCCAUCUCGGACUCCAUCUCGGACUCCAUCUUGGGUCCAUCUCGGACUCCACUUCAGACUCCAGCUCGGGUCCAUCUCGGGUCCACCUCGGACUCCAUCUCGGACUCCACUUCGGACUCCAGCUCGGGUCCAUCUCGGGUCCACCUCGGACUCCAUCUCGGACUCCACUUCGGACUCCAGCUCGGGUCCAUCUCGGGUCCACCUCGGACUCCAUCUCGGACUCCACUUCGGACUCCAGCUCGGGUCCAUCUCGGGUCCACCUCGGACUCCAUCUCGGACUCCACUUCGGACUCCAACUCGGGUCCAUCUCGGGUCCACCUCGGACUCCACUUCGGACUCCAUCUCGGACACUCCCACGUAUCAUGUGUUGGUCCUUUUGGGUCCCUUUUUGGAGCCUCGCCUUUUGCUCGCUUCGUGCUCGUUCCUCGAGCACUUCGUUGGGAGUUUCACUCCCGCUCUUGACUUUUCAAGUCGGAGCUUUUGGUCCAAACGUGUUACGCUCGUUUGGCUCUCGCUUCGGCCACUACCAUGUGGCGCCCUUCCGGCUCCACUUUGGGGCCUAGGGAUUUUGUGUCUCACAACUCCACCACCCAUAGACGAAGUUCGAUGUCCUCAUCGAACAGUAAACCCUUUCAUAAAGUAACACCCACACGUGUUACCAUUUCCAUCCUUGGCACCUAGCCAAUCUUUGUCUAUGGUUUGACAUCAAAGGCUCACCAUGCCUUGUCCAUCCUUUAAGGGGCGUAGUCUCUUCAACUUAGAGACUGAUUGGACCACAUGUAACGGUUCUCCCCUUUUAUUGGUUUAGUUCUCGCUAAACCUCUUAGAGACCCUUCUCUAAGUCAAUCCCACUACUCCUUCUCGAGUAGUCUCAAUUUCCAUCUAUUGAAUGUUUGCACUUUGGAACUUUUACUCUUUUGACUUUUUGGAAGUCAAUCUUCUAGGUGUCUCCAACACCUUGCAUUGCACAGAUUGUGCAACUCCACUUUCCUAUCCUAGGAAGUUCAUUACUUGAGGGCACCAUCAUCCUCUCUUCUAUUUUGUGCCACCUUGGGCACUAAGUUCCAUUUAUCAUACUUUGUGCUAGGGCUGUCCAUGGCCCUAUCAUUUGGCUACCUUACCGCUCCCUCACUUGGAGCCUUUACUUCGCCAAAUUGGAGCACUUAGGAAUCCGUCCUUGAAAGUCCGCUUCCUUUCCCACAAGCUGUUAGCAUCGAACACAUCAGUGUUCCUUGGCUAACUUUGCCAUUUGGAUCCCUUCCAUUAAAUUCCAUGGCCCAAACUUUGGCCACUAGUCCUUUGCUCCUAUCCUUGAUUGUUGCACCCAGCAACAUCGGAUCGCUACCUCCAUUUUUGAGGUAUCUUUUCGGUUCUAUAGCAAAGACUCUUCUUUGCCAAGUCCGGAGGAUGUUCACCCCUAGUAUGUCUCUUUAGCAUAUUCUGCUAUGGGCUCUAUCCAUGGCCCAACUUCGUGACCCUCCCAUGGGUCUUUUAUAGAGACUACUUUCCUCGGACUUACUAUGCCAUCGGACGGACAUAGUUUAUUUCCCUUAGGUGCUCUUCCCACUUGGUCAUCACGACCAAGCCACACCAUCUUAAACAGUUCAAUUUCAACAUUUUGAACCAGGAACUUCAUUCCUUAGCCAACCAAGGACCUUGUCCUUAUCUGGCCAUAAGAUCACCUAGUGAUCUCACCUUGGCACCUUAACAGAGUUGCCAAGAGGUACUUGGUCUUCUAGACCUCCAAGUUGUUGACUAUAACCCCGGGGGCAUUCCCCACACUUGGCGGUGCACCCAAGCUAACCCUUACUUCCAAGGGUUCAUAGCAACUAAGAUUAGGUGUCCCCAUCUCACUCACCACGACCUUGGUGCCACUUGCACCAAAGCGUUCAAGUUAGAUAUGCCAAGCUUUCACACUAAGCAAUCUAACCGUGCAUCACGACUCCGAGGCAUCCCUCGCUUGGCGGUGUGCCCAAACCAGUCUCCCCACUGAGAGUCCAUGACCACCGAAAUAUGAGUGUCCUCAUAUUCCAAACCAUCACCACGCCCUAGUGAUUUGGGACUCGAACCCAAGCACUAGAGGGUCGGGAAUCGAACCCAACCUCCGUAUAUGCAUCUACGGACGGCAUCACACUAGAUGCCUGGCGUGACUCCCCACGCCGGUGCACCAACCUAUUUUUAAAGCGCGCUACAGAUCACAGCUUAGGAACCUAGUUCCUCCACACUGCCAAGUCCUCUCACUUGACAUGUCUGUGAUCAUGCAUGGACUCCUCCAUGCUCGGCCCCCUGGCCCACCCUUUUUGAAGAUAUCACCUUCAACUAGGGUCUUUGUUCCCCCGACGUGCCAAUCUCACUUGGCAAGUCCUCCGACCAUUGUAACAUGGUUCCUGCAUAAGCGUGAAAGUCCUUGACCAUCGACUUUCGUUCAAAGCCCUCUCUUUGAACACCUGGGAACUACUUCCCUAACCUUGAUAACCUUGCCUCAUGGCAAGCUUCAAGACCACGCUUCUGCUGUGCCACUCUGGUUUCGCGCGUUCCAUGAACCAUUUACACUUGGCCUUUUUAGGUAUUACGCUACCUAGAAUCGUCUUUGGGAACCUUGAAGGAACUCUGUCCCUCAGCUUGCUAAGGCCUCCCCUUUCGCAAGCUUUAUAGUUGCCAUAUAGUCUAACAUGGACAAUUCCAUAUUUUAGACUCUCCAUGGCAUCACGGUUGCUAGCAACAACAUCCUCGAGCACCCUCUUGAUUCUCCACUCCCAACUUUCAUAACCACAAUUGGAUAUGCCCUUUGAUUUCUAUGGUUCAGUUCCAUCCCAACACUACUUGCCUUUGGCUUCACACCUUUCCUUCAAUCAUUCUCCUCCAGACCAGGAGGAUAGCUUUGCACUUUCUAUCAUGCCUUAGCAAGUAUUCUUAGGGAUGAACCUACCCAAUAGCCCAGGGAGUGGUUCCUCAAUCCGGGUAUGCUCAGCUUAUAAUCCCACACACUGGGGUUACGUUGUUGCUUAUGGGCCUUUACAUGCCCAUCACUAGCCUUGCCAAAAUUCCAUUUUUGGCUUUGUCCAACUUGGGUAGACAGUCCUCUCCUAUCUCCGCAACCUUGGACAUUUGGAUAGCACCUUCUAUCCAUCAUUCGCUAGGGACUUAGUCCCUUGGGCUUUAUCCAUUGCCCUCGCGACAUCAAACACCACCUUCUGGUGUUCUAGAGUGUUCGGGUGUCCCAAUGAUGGCUUUCUUGACAAUGAGUAUUUCCUUUUAUGACAUUGACUUACUAUAUCGCAACAUAAGCAACUUAUCCCCCGUAAGGGUAUAUCCGACUUCCCUAUACUAGAAGUCUUGGGUAGCUACCUUCUACCCGUUUAACCAGUUAUUUUGCACCUCUUGCUUAGUUGCCUCAUAGUUGUCAAGUCCUACAACUCAUUGCUUGGUGCUUUCACACCUCCAUCACUAUCUGGGUCACCACACUCCAACUGCAUGCUCUGCAGCUUAGGCUAUGCCAUUCCCAUUUCCAUUGGGAUUCCUUUGGCAAGGGGUUCUCAUGAACCCACCAACAUAGCCUCAAGGUAUCACACCUUGGCACAUUUGGUGUCUCCACACCAUCGGCUCCACGAGCCUACCUCUAUGACAUUUCCCUUCGUGUCUAAGUCUUUGCCAAGACCAACACCGCUCUUUCUUAUGCCAACCAUCUGUUAGCACUGCCCCAUAGAGGUCACACACAACUUUAUGUCAAAGUUGUUUUCUUCUGGGAACACCUUUCCUAUAACUUUAGCAUGGCACAUUUUGCCAUCGAUGAGAUACUCUCUGUUCUCAUCCUUGGAUCCUAUGAUCCCAUCCUUUGUGGGGUACAACGCACCUCAGUCCAAAUGCUUCAUUCAGUCCUUUUUAGGACCAUCCCUUGACUCUACUUGAGUCGUUUAGCAGUUUUGGACUUGGUUAAUCCACCGGCCCGUAAGGUCCUACUUGUGAGGCACUAGCUCACUGGAAUACACAUCUUGCAUUCCGGUCCUACUCAAAAGGACUAUUUUCACAAGUGUUACUCCGACACUUGAUUUUGUUCUCUGGGGGCAACCUUUGCCCCUUAGGACUACUUGUCCAUGUGAUGAGAAUACCAACUCAUCCACUUAAUACACCCCCAACUCCUUGGGUUGUUCCAGCAUUUAUUAGAGGUAGCCCCGGCUACCAUUUCAAGGACUUGAGUCCUCUUCCGUAUUUGACCUUCCACGGUCAUUACCUUUGGUCUCACAUUCAUGAGCACCAACCUCAACUAUAUGAGGAUAAUCUUGUGACUCCUUUAUUGUCUUGGAGUCUCUAUCUUUCCCGUGAUCCCAACUUUAGUUGUUUACCACAACAACCUAAGCCAAUUUGCUGAGACAAAUGCUCAUCCGGAUCACAUCCUCAAUUCAAUGAGGAAAACCUUGCACUGUUCCCAAGAUCCCAAAGUCGUUCCAUUAUUGGCCCUUUUCUAUCCACCACCUCGUCUACAAGUUCACACAUGAACUGUAAUGGAGAGCCAUGUCUUCCAGACUUGCUACUCCUCAAGGAUAGGCCCACUCCUCAGACCUUCCGAUGCCAACACUAGUGGUGAUAUACUUGAGCACCAAUAAAAGUCGGACUAAGGAACAGCUCCGAUACCAAAUUGUAAGCGACUAAAUUUUCCAUUCUACUUUAGUCACUUAACCACACCUCCGACCACUUGGAGGAGUCUCAUUCACAACCUCCAUCAGUCCAAUUCAGGACUUGGGACUUGCUAGCCCCAAGAAUGGCAUCCAUGCCACUCCACACUUGCACCUGGUCCAAGUGCUCCACGUGCCCGGUCCUGAGACCGACACCCAAAGGUACCAUUGACAUCUCGGCCCGUUACGCUAAGGCCAUGCCCAUUCACCUUUGCUGCACUAGUGGUUCAACACCACUUGCAUCACCACCUCGUCUCUCCAAGACUGGGCCAUGUGUCCACGAGUGGUCAUCCUAGAUCCACUCCUUAGCAUCCUUAGGAUGCCCACAGACCUGGGGAAUUGCCUUCCCCAAAGUCCCUUUGUCAGUUCCUACCAAGUCCCUUUCUGCCCCUGGCCGUGUUUGCCAACACUACCACUGGAUCGAGGCCCACAGGCCCGACCACUAAGUCCCACGGUCCUCUGGAACUUCCUCACCACAUGACUGUGUCCUUGGUCACUACCCUAGAGGACUGCUCCUCUUCCUUUCCACAGUCUGGGCCUUUGGGACAACAUUUCGGAACACCGUGGCCUUACGCGAGCCACCUGGGUACUCUCCCCACCUAUCGCCUUUAGGUGCUUUAGCCAUGGGCUUAGAGCGAGGUUCCAUUGAGCCACGCUUGGUAUCCAAGUAGGUAGUGCCAUCCACACUUGGACUGGGAGCAUCGGCCAGUCAAUCUCCCGGGGGAACUAGAGCCGGCUCUUGAACACUUUACCAAGCUACCCCGCUUGUCGGUCCGUAUUCACUCUAGUCUUGGACUUCCCAGUGGUCAGUUCAUCACCCAACACUGGGUCUGGCCUUCCUGGGCCAAACUGGCCUUUCCUGGCCAAACUGGCCUUUCCUGGCCAAACUGGCUCCACUGCAGUCCUCCCCCUACUAUACUUUUGGAGCUCACCAAACCCCCCAGGGUCUGGGAGACGAACGCUUUGGGCUUUCACCCUCUCAGGCUCCGGACUCGGACUCGGACUCGGACUCGGACUCGGACUCGGACUCGGACUCGGAUUCGGACUCGGACUCGGGCUCGGGCUCGGUCUCGGCCUCGGCCUCGGUCUCGGUCUCGGUCCCGAUCUCGGUCUCGGUCUCGGUCUCGGUCCCGAUCUCGGUCUCGGUCUCGGUCUCGGUCCCGGUCUCGGUCUCGACUUCGGACUCCUUCUCGGACUCCAUCUCGGACUCCAUCUCGGACUCCAUCUCAGACUCCAUUUCGGACUCCAUCUCGGGUCCAUCUCGGGUCCAUCUCGGACUCCAUCUCGGACUCCAUCUCGGGUCCAUCUCGGACUCCAUCUCGGACUCCAUUUCGGGUCCAUCUCGGGUCCACCUCGGACUCCAUCUCGGACUCCAUCUCGGACUCCAUCUCGGGUCCAUCUCGGACUCCACUUCGGACUCCAGCUCGGGUCCAUCUCGGGUCCACCUCGGACUCCAUCUCGGACUCCACUUCGGACUCCAGCUCGGGUCCAUCUCGGGUCCACCUCGGACUCCAUCUCGGACUCCACUUCGGACUCCAGCUUGGGUCCAUCUCGGGUCCACCUCGGACUCCAUCUCGGACUCCACUUUGGACUCCAGCUCGGGUCCAUCUCGGGUCCACCUCGGACUCCAUCUCGGACUCCACUUCGGACUCCAACUCGGGUCCAUCUCGGGUCCACCUCGGACUCCACUUCGGACUCCAUCUCGGACACUCCCACGUAUCAUGUGUUGGUCCUUUUGGGUCCCUUUUUGGAGCCUCGCCUUUUGCUCACUUCGUGCUCGUUCCUCGAGCACUUCGUUGGGAGUUUCACUCCCGCUCUUGACUUUUCAAGUCGGAGCUUUUGGUCCAAACGUGUUACGCUCGUUUGGCUCUCGUUUCGGCCACUACCAUGUGGCGCCCUUCCGGCUCCACUUUGGGGCCUAGGGAUUUUGUGUCUCACAAGGGGCUCCUUGCACAGUGGAAAGGACCGUAUCGGGUGUUGCGGCAAGUUGGACCACAAGUUUAUGAGGUUUGGCAUGACGUCCAGCAGGCCGAUCCUCUAGAGGUUGUGCAUGUGCAACGGUUGAAAGACUUCAUACAAAGGGAUCAUGAGCGGUUAAUACCAUCUACAGAUCCGCCGAUGCCUCCUCCUGAUCUUCCUCCAUAUCCCGGCCUGUCUACAAGAGAACCUUGAUGGUCUUCCAUUAUUCCGAGAGGAGGGGAUGAUGUGAGGGCUAAGUGUACGGCUACGAUGCCAUAUACUAAUAUUAGCAUAGUGGGAUUUUGGUAGCCGUCGGAUUGGUUUCAAUCCGGACCACUUGCUCCUGUAUAUAAGCUAGGGUUUUUGGGCUAAUUGAUAUGCACAUUUCUGUAUUCCCUUUCCAUAUUCCAUGCACUCACAGUAGGAAUUAUAUCAUAGAUUUAGUCUCAAAAUGUUUAACAUUUUAAAUAAUUCUAAAUUCAAGACAAGGAUUGUUUCAAGAACUAUCUUGGUAGUAAUAAUAACAAUAUAAGCUUCAUAUAUAUAAAUAAAGAGCUUGGCUAAAAAGUCAAUAAAUGUAAAAAAAUGCACUUUUAAACAAGAUAACUAAAUGGAUUAUAAUAUUUAUUUUUUGUAAAGAGAGUUUAGUAGUAUAUAUUAUAUAUCAUAUUAUUUUUUAUUUAAAUAUCAUUAAUUUUUCCACAAUUAUUUGCAUUUCUAAAAAUAAACAAGCUGCAAGGAUGGAAUCUUCUGGGAUGACAUAGAUCCCAUCUUCGUGUCCAAUCAUUGAGGAUGUAAUAAAUAAAUCAUGAAGUAAAGGCAUAGCUUGAUAAAAUCUCAAGUAAAUUUUUACUUGACACAAGGUUAGAAUUCAUUCAGCUGUGUCUAGUUUGCAUCAAUGCAAUGCUGGUCCGUUGCAAGGCAUUUCUAAUUGUAACAUGGAGAGGCAUGGAUGGUAUUUUAAUGCUUGAUAGAAAUUGAUUUUUGUCUGGAUUCUACUUGAUUUUUAAUUUUUUUUUAAAGUAUAUGUGGUAGCAAAUAAAUCGUCAACGUGCAGCCAUAGAGUUCAAGCAGAACCAACCAGACAUAGCACUUCCUUCAAUCAUUAUGUUCGUUUACAUUGGGAAGAAUGCGAAUGUUUUUCCUUAAGACCUUGUGCUCCAACUGAAGAAUCAACAAGGACGAUCUGGUAAAAGAAAAAACAAGCCUGUAAUUCAUAUCCUUUCAAAGAAACUACAUCAACCUUUGGGGACGUGAUCGGCUCUAAUUGCGAUCCUCUUCGAGCUUCAAGGUCUCGUCGGUCGCGUAAACCAUGCAAGCCUGGGACAACACAGCCUGGAGUGAAAAUUUUGCGAAAGAAAGUUAAGAAGCAAACCUUGACAUAGUUUGCAUUUGGAAGGCUUGCACUGAUCUCUUCGACAUCGAGAUCUUCGAACGGGUUCUUGACGAGCUGGCUUCCAAACACCGUCUCGUCACAAUCGACCCAUUCGUCCUCGACGUCCGAGAUCACAUCCGGAUCCACUGCCACAGAGAAUUUGAAUGGAUCGAAGCUUUGAAAUAUUUCGAGAUCGACCCUACCAUUCUCUUCGCAGAUUUCCUCCAGAUCUCUCCUCAGUGCGUCCUUGAGACCUUGAUCCAGCGGGCAAUCGAGCCUGUGAAAAGAAAAAAAAAAGCACUGGAGAGAGACAUCGAGCGGCUUCUUACCAUUUCCGCAUCCAGGACUUGGAAUGCUUGCGGCGAUCUUCAUCACCUUGGUCGGAGUCGGAAUCUGCGCGGCGAUCGAUCGAAGAGCUCGCCGGCCUGGCUUUCUUAUGGCGCUGCUCUCCCGCUCCAGCCAUAUUCCAAAAUAUUUGUUCUGCUCUAGGGCAGAAACGUAAUCUCUCCCGCCCAAUUUGUAAAGGUCUUCAAUCGAAGCCGUCCAUUUGAUUUUCACUUGAGAAGCAUCUUGAUAGAUUCUCUUUAAUUUUAAAUUGCGUGGCUAUGGCCGCUGGAUGGAACAAGCUAGACGGUGCCAAGGCGCUCGUCGAUAGCGGCAUAGACGGGGUCCCAGAUUUCUAUGUCAAGCCCCUCGAUCAGAGGCUCUCUCCUCAAGAUCUAGAGCUCCACGCCGGUGAGCAGGAGGACGAAGUCCCGGUGAUCGAUGUCUCCCCGCUGCUGGAUUCCAAGCCUACUUCAUCCGAUCGCAGCAAGGAGGAUGUAAUCGCCGAGCUGCUGGAUGCGAGCGAGAGAUGGGGCUUCUUCCAGGUAAGAAACUGUGCCGCGUAUGGAACCGUCUCAACAGGAACUGGAUCUAGGUUAUCAAUCACGGCAUCGGCAGCGAUCUCACGCGGCGGAUGCUCGCCGUGGCUCACGAAUUCUUCCAGCUGCCGCUCGCGGAGAAGAUGGUCUUCUAUAGUACGGACAUAGACGCCGCCGUGAGGUACGGCACGAGCUUCAAUCCACUCAAGGAUGUGUUUCUAGACUGGCAAGACAAUCUUUUGCAUCGAUUUCUGCCGGAGCGCCGGGAUCAGCCACAUCCAUGGCCGACCAAACCAAGCGCUUACGAGUAAGUCUAAGUGCUAGACUUGGUUCAUCCAAUUCUCUUGCCUGGUUUUCUCUAAGUUUUCAUGGAUCAUCCAGGUUGAUUGCUGGGGAAUUUGUGGAUCAAGCCAAGUUUCUGGCCCGGCAUCUCCUGCGAGCAUUGUCUGAGGGUCUCGGCUUAGGCCCGGACUAUUUGGAGGGGGAGUUUGGUGAGCACAACGUGGCGCUGCGGCUCAAUUAUUAUCCUCCUUGCCCGAGUCCUGAGCUUGCAAUUGGACUGAGUAGUCACUCCGAUGUUGGUGGUCUCACGAUUCUCUUGCAGGACAGUGAUAUCGUCGGACUCCAAGUGAAGGUCCAGGAGAAGUGGAAGACGGUCAGGUCGGUUCCUGGUGCUCUUGUUAUCAACAUUGGCGACCAGCUUCAGGCAAGCUAGCAAAUAACUUGUAGAAUGGUUAAUAUGUCUUUUGGACAGAUUUAUAGCAAUGGAAAGCUCAAGAGCGUCGAGCACAGAGCGAUCGUAAAUGCCGAUAAAGCUCGGGUAUCAGUCGGGCUCUUCUACGAUCCAGCUUCCGACGUUAGAGUAUCUCCGAUUCCCAAGUUUGUAGACACGGAGCAUCCAGCGGCCUACAACCCUUGCGUGUUUAGAGAGUACCUGAAGAACCUCUACUCUAAGAACUUGGUGGGCAAGGAAUUGCUGGAAUCCCAAAGGAAAUAGCCUUGGAAGUGGAUGUUUUCAGGAGUGAGAGUUUGGCAGGUCAAGGUGAUUCUCAGCCUGAAAAGAUGUUUUAAGGUGGCUACUAGUGACCGAACUCCAAUCCAUGUAAUUGUCAUUCUUUUCCUCAUGCUUCAUGAUCUGCUGGAAUGUCAACAAUGUGCUAAUGAGCAUCAAAGACUCUUUCAAGUUCACUAACUUAUAAUUUGAUAUUGAUAAAGGUAAAGGAUGUUAGAAAGCCAUUUAAAAUUCAUUAAAAAAAAAGGUAGUUUAAAAUUGAAAUUAAAAUCUAAGGAAUCCAUAAUAUUUCGGUGUUGUUUUAAUAUUGAUUACAAUGUUUUGAUAUAUUUGGCAAUAGGCAUGAAACCAAACUUGGCCUUCGCAUGGUAUUUAGGUCCUUGGAGAAUCUAGGUCUAGAACACUGAAGUGUUAUUAAAUCAAUUCUGGGGUACUUGAGAGGUAUGUUUUAACUCUUUUUGUAAAAACAAGCUUUCACAAAGCAUUUUUACAUAAUUAUUUAAAUAUAUUUUAGUAAUUUAUUAAAUAUUUUAAUAAAUAAUUAUUUAAUUUUUUUAAAGGAAACCCAGUACUGGAUAUAUCUAGAAUAUGCUUAAAUAUUUUGUAUAUACUCUUAAACUAUAAACUGGAUAUUUUACUAUCUAAGACAGUUCUUAUUCAUUUACAUUAAUCUUUUAUUUAUAAUUUAUAAAAUUUCCUAAACAUUUUCUAGUAUAUUCUAGUUUAUAUAAAAUAUAAACAUGUUUCUAAUCAUAAAAGUUUAAUUGAUCAAUUGGUUUAAAUAAUAAACACUACUAUUAAGCAAACCAAUUGUUACUGCAUGCAAUAACAAGUUCUUGAAAAUAAAAUAUAUCUUACAUUAUCUUCUUUAAGCCUUUUUCACUUUUUUUAAAUUUAUUAUUCUCAUUUUACCACUAAUUUUUUAUAUAAAAUAUUCAUAUAUUAAAUAUAAUUAUUAUCAUUAUUCAUGUAUGGAAAGAAGGUAUACUUUAUUUUACUUAUACAUGACAAAGAAAGCAAUAUAUUUUCUAAUAUUUAUAGUUACUAAAGAUUACACCUAAUAAUUGUUUUUCUAAAUAUAUUGAGUAAAAAACUUUUUAAUUUUAUAUAUAUAUAUAUAUAUAUAUAUAUAUAUAUAUAUAUAUAUAUAUAUAUAUAUAUAUAUAUAUGUAAAUAACUCUUUCGUUGUUCUUGUGGAUAAACUUUAUUGAAUAAUAAAGUAUUCAAAAGAAAAGGGUUAUUUUAAUAAACAUCUUAAGAGAGAGAUUAGAGAAAAAGUACCGAUCAGAUCAGAUGUUGCAGGAAGCUACUUCAGGUGUAAUGGAAGCAUGGGGAGAGCUUUUAGUAGAGCACAGAGAUGACCUCGUCACCUUUUUGAUAACGAACCCUUUCUUUAUAAAAAUAUGCAUUACAUGCUUUUCCAUACCUUUAUAUCUACCAAGAAGUUGCUUUCAGUAAGAGCUUUGAACAAUUUUUGUAUGUGUCAAAAGGCGGGAGUCAAUAUUGAGAGAGAGAGAGAGAGAAAGGCAUUCCUUCCGGACUCGGGAAAGAUGUCCAUCUCGAGGGAUGUCAUAUGACUUUUUUGGUUGGGGGGUCCAACUUUUUGCAAAGGAAACGAGCAAUGCUCUGCCCAAAUCCUCGCUCCGCCUGCUGCUCUCUCGUGAAAUCCAUGCAACAAAAGCAAAAGAGAUUCUGUCCAAACAUGGUGGUUGAUGCCUCGCCGCAGGAGAACUUCAAUUCCAGCAGCAAACAAGAAAAAAUUUACAGCCACUUUUCUUUCUUUUCCCAGUUUUCCUUGUUUGAUUUCGUUCUCCUCCCUUAGAGCAUAGCAAUCCAGCUCCUUUUCUCUCCUCUAGCAUAGCAAUGCUCGUGUUCCUGGCGAUGGCUCUUCUCCUGGUUGCGAGCGUGGAUUCGUGGAGGAACGCCUCCAUUCCUUCGCAGUGGCAGGGGAUGACGCGGAGGAGCAAGAUCCACCCGGCGGAGCAGCAGGGCGGCGACGAUUUCAUCCCGAGAGCAAUCGGCGGCGAUGGGCUGGUCAAGUUCUUGGUGGUCGACCAAAGCUCCCUCCUAUCGUCGCAGACGACGGGAGUUUUCAGGUCCAUCCAAGCAGCAAUCGAUGCCGUCCCGGUUGGGAACCAGCAUUGGGUGAUCAUCCAAGUUGGAGCUGGAGUUUACCAGUAAGUAUCAUAGGAGCUUGUCCAAGAAAAACAGAGAAAAAAAAUCUUUGUUUUAUAGGGAGAAGAUCACGAUUCCAUACAUGAAGCCUUACAUUCUUCUCCAAGGUGCCGGGAGAGAUUUCACCACCAUCUCCUGGAGCGACACGGCCAGCACUUUCGGGACUGCCAACAGCGCUACUUUCAGCGCCUUUGCUCCGAAUUUCAUCGCCAAGUACAUCAGCUUCAGAGUAAGCUUUUCCUCGCUUUUCUCAAUCUCGCUUUCUUCGAUCGAUCGAAAGGAGAGCCUCAUGUUUCUUCCAUAGAAUUCAUUCUCCUCUUUUGGAAAAGAGGCCUGACUGUUCGCUCGCAGAACAAUGCACCGCGGCCGCCACCGGGAGCUUUCAAUCGCCAAGCGGUGGCUGUUUUGGUCGCCGGCGACAUGGCUGCCUUCUACUCGUGCGGCUUCUAUGGCGCCCAGGACACGCUCUUCGAUUACGAGGGACGUCACUACUUCCGGGACUGCUACAUCGAAGGCUCCAUUGACUUUAUCUUCGGCCAUGCGAAGUCCGUCUUCAAGGUAGAAUAGAACAAUUCUUGCGAGAAACUGGAGAACUGUUAGUCGCCUUUCUCUCUUUUUCUUUGUCUACCUGAUCUUUUUCUUUUCUCAUGUACAGGCCUGUGAGCUCCACGCCAUCGCCGACAGCUUUGGCUCAGUCACCGCUCAGAACAGGGGAGACCCUCGCGAGAACUCUGGCUUCAUAUUUAUUGCCUGCACAGUGACAGGAAGUGGCACCAUUUUCUUAGGACGUGCUUGGGGAGCUUACUCUCGAGUCGUCUAUCUCUUCACCUACAUGGACAGCAACGUUGUCUCCGAGGGGUGGAAUGAUUGGGGCGUCGCGAGCAGGCAGGAGUAAGUUCUCGCGAGAUUUUCUAUCUUUUUCUCACUCUUGUCACCUACAUCAACGAACAGGACAGUUUAUUAUGGUCAGUACAAGUGUUUCGGACCGGGAGCUAACGAACUAGGCCGUGUUCGGUGGUCUCACGAGCUCACGGACGAGGAAGCCAGGCCUUUCCUGCAAGUAAACUUCAUUGACGGCGUACAAUGGUUACGUGAACUAUAGCAAACAACGAGGAAGAAAACCUGGCUCGUCUGUACAAAAUUUGAUUCCCAAUUCUUUUGUGCGACACCUUCAGAAAAGGAAAAGGAAGAAACUGUCAAGAACAAUAAAAAUCUCUAGCCAGAUCCGUAAAUACUUGGGAAGGAAACCAAAUUUCGCGGUUUACCGGUGAUUUGUUGGUGCUAACUUUGUAACUCGAGAAUCACGAAAUAAAAUCCCCGCAUUCGUGUAAAACGCUUGGACGCGAGGUCGCUUAUACCAAAGCCCAUUGCAGUGCAUCGGGGAGAAAACGGCUGUGAGAAGGACAAAGCCCAAAAGCAAAAGAACAAAAUGCCAAUGGAGCAAAGCAAAGCUAUCAAACGUUUAAAGCACCUUCAUGUGUUCUUGUUCUUCGAUCCAGAUCCCCGAUGAAAAUCUUCGUGUUGAUCCUCUUCGCCACCUUGCUCUCGCUGCGCCAAUCCCAAGAGUUAGAAGGCGGUCACAAAGAACACAAAGAGCUCAUCACCUUUACCCCCGGGCAUUUUAAAAUUUUAUCUUUCCCGCCAUUCGCAUCGCGUGCCACUGCCCCGGCGGCUGCAAAUCCGCGCCCCCAGCGCCAAGAUCACGAGCUGCAAGGAAAAGAGGAGGAGCUCGCCAUCGAGAUCCUCCACCGGAGCUCCCGGCGCGAUGGCGAUCCCCAUUAUCAGGAUCCUCUCCACGACAUCCACAGCGCGAUGGAGCGGGACGAGGCGCGCCUCCGCUGGAUCCACCACCGCAUCCAGUCGAGCGAUCGUCGCCACCGCCGCGGACGAUCGCUCCUCCAGACCGCCCAGAUUUCCUCGGGAUUGAGCCUGGGCAGCGGCGAAUACUUCGCGAGGAUGGGAAUUGGAAACCCGCAGAGAUCCUACUACCUGGAGCUCGACACCGGCAGCGAUGUCACCUGGAUCCAGUGCGCGCCCUGCUCUUCCUGCUACUCUCAGGUCGAUCCAAUCUACGAUCCCUCCAAUUCGUCGAGCUACCGCCGCGUCUACUGCGGCUCGGCGCUGUGCCAGGCGCUGGAUUACAGCGCCUGCCAAGGCAUGGGAUGUAGCUACCGCGUCGUCUAUGGCGAUAGCUCCGCUAGCAGCGGCGAUCUUGGCAUAGAAUCCUUCUACCUGGGGCCGAAUUCCAGCACCGCGAUGCGAAAUAUCGCGUUUGGAUGCGGCCAUAGCAACUCGGGCCUCUUCCGCGGCGAGGCGGGGCUCCUAGGGAUGGGCGGCGGCACGCUCUCCUUCUUCUCCCAGAUCGCGGCCUCCAUCGGCCCCGCAUUCUCCUACUGCCUGGUGGAUCGCUACAGCCAGCUCCAAUCGCGCUCGUCGCCGCUCAUCUUCGGGCGCACCGCCAUACCCUUCGCCGCCAGAUUCACGCCGCUGCUCAAGAACCCUAGAAUCAAUACGUUCUACUACGCCGUCCUCACUGGGAUCAGCGUCGGCGGUACCCCGCUGCCCAUACCGCCCGCGCAGUUUGCGCUCACGGGCAACGGCACCGGCGGCGCCAUCCUCGACUCGGGCACCUCCGUGACGCGCGUCGUGCCGCCGGCCUACGCGGUGCUGCGCGACGCGUACCGUGCGGCGUCGCGGAACCUACCGCCGGCGCCGGGGGUCUACCUGCUCGACACGUGUUUCAAUUUCCAGGGGCUGCCGACGGUCCAGAUCCCAUCGCUGGUGCUCCACUUCGACAAUGGCGUGGACAUGGUGCUGCCCGGCGGGAAUAUUCUCAUCCCGGUGGAUCGCUCGGGGACGUUUUGCCUGGCUUUCGCGCCGUCUUCCAUGCCCAUCUCGGUCAUUGGCAACGUCCAGCAGCAAACCUUUCGAAUUGGGUUUGAUUUGCAAAGAUCUCUCAUCGCCAUAGCUCCAAGAGAGUGCUAAAGUUGAUUUGCAAAGAUCUCUCAUCGCCAUAGCUCAAGAGAGUGCUGAAGUAUACUUCUCUCAACUAUGAGAUUCAAAACUCCCAAGUGAUAAAAACUAGAUUCUUCAAUAGCUUUUGAUCUGAUCGAGCUCUCGAAAUUCCGAGGCUUGCUUUGCUUGCUCGCUUAGCUUCCAAGGAAGCUUUUUAAUCUGUGCUUCACAAACAAUAAAACUUUGAGACGAAAAGAAUGGCUCUAUAGUACACUAUAAUCUCGCUCGCCUUUUCUUUCGUAUCUCGCCUGUAUUGCUUCUUUUGGAGUGUAAAUCCUGUCCUUACUGUGGCUCUCUCUCGAGAGAGCUCGAUCACGUCGAAGGAAGCCAUUGCGUGCCAUCCACAAAGCUGAGCGAAAGAAAUGGAGUUACCUCCAUGUCCGAGAGCUCGCGAGCCCACGGCACUCUCAGCGAAGAAGUGGCUCCGGGACCAUAGCAUUUGUAUUGUCCAAACGAGACAGUUCUACAGAAAAGGAAGUUAAGAUUUUACAAAGAAGAAAAGAAAGAUCCUCUUUUUACCUGUCUCUGGAUGCGUCGUGAUCCCAAUCGUCCCAGCCACGUACAUCGAUUAUAUUGUCGAAGUAACUGUUCGAGUAGACAAUGCGGGAGUACGGUCCCAUUGCUCGUCCGAGAUACAAAAUCCCGGUUCCGGUAACUUUGCAGUUGACGAACGAGAAUCCUGUGUUUUCCGUUUGGCUCUGCCGAUCUUGUGCUGCUACGGAGCCGUAGGAAUCCGCUAUGGAGUGAAGUUCGCAUUGCUGCAGCACUCCCGGCAUUAAAAAACACGGAAAGGAAGGCGGAAAGUUUUGAUGCUCACCUCGUAGAGCGAGCGGCCAUUGCCAAAGAUGAAAUCGAUGGAGCCUUGGAUGAAGCAACCUUUGAAGUAGUGGCGUCCGACAUCGUCGCAGAGCGUGUCCUGCGCGCCGUAAAAGCCACAGUUGUAGAACGCAGCCAUGUCGCCAGAGAUCCGGAAAGCCGCUGCUUGACGUCCAUUGACACCGGGUGGUGGUGGAGGUGCAGUGUUCUAUCACAAGAACAAAAAAAAAAAAAAAAAAAAACAAACCAUUUUUGUGUGAGCCAAGAGCUUAUAAAUCGAUUGAAAGAUAGAAACCACGCAAAGGUCACGCACACGCAAACAUGCACACACAAUUCACGCACAAAGAAAAGGAGACAAAAAAGAGUGGAAGUACCUGAAAACUGAUGUCUCUGGCUAUGAAAUUCGCCCCUACGAUCGUCACUGACGCGGUUCUAUAGGCCGUAAGCGGCUGUCCAUCGGGGCCGAGGUCGCUGGCGGUGGAAUUCCAGACGAUGAGGCUACGAUCAAUCCCAGCGCCCUGGAAAGUUAAGAACGGCUUCGUAGCUGGAACCACCACUUUCUCCCUGGAACCGAAAAAACAAACCCACAGACAAUGAGACGCCUGGAAGAAGCAAAGGGGAAGAAACAAAGGCAAGAAAAUGAUAAGAAAGAAUGUCUCAUCAGAUCAUCACGAGAAGAGCGCCAUGGCUGGAAGAGAGAAAGAAAAGAAAAUUCUCUUCUCUACUGGCCAUACUGACCGCCCUAUCUGACUGACGGUCACGGAGAUGCGGAGAUUCGCGGGAAUAAACCGGCAGCGCGAAGAUGCCGCCCAAGAUUCGCCGUAUGAAGAUCCUUGCGACGAUGAUGAUCGAUCGUUUUGCCCGCAAUUGGAGCUGGGGGAAGCGGCCGAUCGCGGUGCAUUACGCGUGACAUCGACGCAAGGGAUCGUUGGCGCUUGGAUUUUGCGGCGGGGUGUUCUUUGCAUCGAUGCCAAAAUUUCUCCCCUGUUCAUGGAAAUAUUCUACGCUGCCGUGCGAAAUCUGGGACCCGUGAGCGCCAAGAAUCGGCAAGAAUGGAUCGCUGGCGGGAAUUAUCAGGCAAGAUUGUAACUGGGAUCGCGAGAAUUCGUUGAGAUUGAUCGAUCGAGGCAAGAAGAGUAAUUUCCAAGAACAGAGAAAUCGAGGAGGAAGGAAGAGGAAGAAAGAGAGGCGAGAGCCAGGAAGAGAAUGCUGAUCCUUACCAGUAGAUUCCCGGACCAAUUCGUAUCGUCACCCUCUGAUCAUUCCCGUCCGGGAUCGCGUUCACUGCGUCCUGGACAGUCACGAAAUCGCCAUUCCCGCUCUGAUCCACGACGAGAAUCCGCGCGGCCAGAUGCCCCUCGGUGCUGAAGGAUUGGAGGAGAUUUCUCGUCGCCGCCGCGCCGCGAGGAUGCGAGAGGAUUAAGGUCGACAAGACGAGAAUGGAGGCGCGUCGCGAGCCGCGAGAGAGGAGGAACAAGGCGGCGAGGAAGGAGGAGGAAUCCCUGGCAGCCAUGGCCGGAGCUAUGGGCCGGAGCUAUCGGCUAGGUGGGAAAGAAUUUUGGGAGAGGAGGGAAAGAAAGAAUGGAAAAAUGCCGCGCUUGUUAUAGCCGGUUAGGUUUAAACCCAUUGUUUAUAGGCCUAAAAGGUUGACAGAAAACGUACGAGUUUGUAUUUUUCCUAUGAAUUUUUUUCUUCCACUAAUACGCCAACUUUGACUCUAAUUAUUUUCAAAUCAUACCUGUUUGUAUCGAAGAGAAAGAAAAGUUUCUCUUAUCUGAUAUGGAGAAACCAUGUCUUUCUAUCGGAAUUGUGUGGAUUGAGAACGACCCAAAGGCAAAGCUAGAAAAGCUUCACCAGGACUUUCCUUAAGUACGAUGAUUCAAAGAUUCUCGUCUCGGGCUUCUAGUGAGUGUUUGUUCGAACUUAAAAGGCGGUGGAAAGCAAAAAAGGAGAGAGCGAGAGGGGAAUAUACGGCGGCACGAAAACAACGCUACUACACAUUGAAAACUCCCAAAAAAAUUCACCGAAGAAAGAGGGAGGGAAAAGAGCGAUGUAAGUAAUGUGGAUUGCUACGCCACCUCCCCUUGAAGCUCAAAACGUGAGAGGAUUUUAAUAGAGCUCGGCGUCACGGGAGGGCCAUGCGACCAAAAGCUCUUUCCUUUUUUAUUUUCCACCCAUCUUGACAAGUUGAUCGGGCGAGAGGGACUGCCUGUGUUUGCUGCAAACGAAAGAGAGCGUUGCUUGAUGGAUCUUUCCGAAAGUUUUUCUCUCUCUUUUUUUUUGCUCUCUCUUUCUCGUCUUGCUUACCUGAUGAAAUGGAGGCAUAGAAAAUGGCUGGACACGCGAAAUUAUUGUACCUGAUUGCUUGCAAAGAUCAGGCGUUUAAUGCUCGGAAAAAGAAAAGAAUACCUCAAGAAAAGGAGCCUUCGCUAUCAACACAGAUUGUGCUGUGCUCCCUUGGCAGCAGCAACUGGUUGAGUGCGUUCCCUCACAAAUGCCAUGCAGAAGAAGCUGAAAACAAUAACUAUAAUGAACAGAGACAUCAGAAUCAAAUAUGUAGCAGCAAGCAAAACCAAAAAAAAAAAAAAAAAAAAAAAAACGAAAAAAAAAAGAUAAACAAACUCAAAGAACGAAGUAAAAAAAGGAAGGAAAGAAGAACGAACCACGAACCGCUCGUCAAAGCUUGGUUGUUGGAUCCAUAAAUGUUCACUGCUUUCACGGAAUGUCGUCCAUGGACCAUUAACUCUGAGUGGUUGCACCGCGUAACUCGCUUACUGUCCACCGGUCUAUGUACUUUGUAGUCGCUCUUCUUUGGAUCCCACAGGCACCGCUGCCGAAGAAGGCUUCGCCCGGACGAAAUAAAUGCCCGCCCGUCUGGAGAAGACGACGUCUCUCACAAAGUUUCACUGGAAUUUCUAUUCCAUCGACAUCGAAGCAAAUCUCCGCCGUGCUGACGGAUUUGUAUCUCUCACUGCUGACUGCAACCAAGAUAAGCUUCUAGCACGAGAUUUAAAACUUCGCUUGCUGGCAAACUUUCAAGGUACCUGGAUCAACCAAGUUGCAAGUAAUCUGAUUUUCCAGCUCGAAAAAUGCACGGAGCCCUGUGGAUUGGAAUCAGAUAUGAAUAGGAUACUUACGAGAGUUCGCUGUGGAUGCAGAAAGAGCAAAUCAGCUGAACAGAUUGCAAGAUACUACAGGCCCAGGCAUUAGAAAAGUAAGAAAAUGUCGCAAACUAUGACAAGCAAUCGUGCGCAAAGCAGCAAAUGCUUUUCCUUCAACUAUAAAUUAUAUACACGUCCAGCUCUGUCUACAAAGACAACUGAAGUGAGACUUUGCUACGAGAUUAAAAUUCAAAAUACCGUACCUCUCUAAGUUGGGAGCCACUGAGAGCCAUCAAUGAAGCUUGGAUCUAGAAAAGGUUGUGCCUGUCCCGGUGUGAGCUCGUGAGACCACGCUACACGUCCUGCAUGAUUGGCUCCUGGUCCCGAGCACUUGUACUGCCCAAAAAACACAGUGCUGCGGGGCAAGCAAUUUAUCAGAAUCGAGAAAACUGGAGAGGAACAACUUACUGCUCUUUAUUGGGGUCUCCCCAGUUGUCCCAACCCUCCGGGACAACUAUGUUAUCCAUGUACGUAAAUGCAUAAACAACCCGAGAGAAGUCACCCCAAGCUCGUCCUAAAAAGAUUGUUCCAGAACCGGUGACCCUGCAGUUCACAAAAGAAAAACCAGUUCGUUCGCUUUGGUUGGUUCGCUUUUGGGCUGCUAAUGCACCAAUUCCACCACAAUUCUCAGCAGCAGCGUGUAGAUGAGAUUUCUGAAAAAAGCGGGUUGAGAAAAUUGCUCGAGAACAACAGUAACACUUACGUAGUAAUAUGAAUGGCCAUCUCCGAAUAUGAAAUCUAUAGAUCCCUCAAUGUAGCACUCUCUGAAGUAGUGACGGCCACUGUGAUCGUAUAGAGUGUCUUGGGAUCCCAAGAAAUGACAACCAUAAAAAGCAGCUGUGUCACCAGAAAUUCUAAGGGCAACAGCUUGUUUCCCUGGUGCUCCAGGAAAAAAUACAGCAGAAUUCUGCAAAAUCCGCAUGAAAGAUCGAACCAUGAACACGACGAUUACCUUAAACGUAAUGUUCUUAGCAAUGAAAAACGACGCGUAAAUUCCAACUGUUGCACUCUCAAAGGUUCCCAACGGCUGUCCGCCAGGACCAGGACUGCUUGCUGUAUCAUUCCAGUCGAUGAUGGUAAGCCACGCUCCAGAGCCCUGGAGUGUAAUGUAAGGCUUCGUUAUUGGAACCGUAACUUUUUCUCUGGAUACAAAUGAAAUUGAGAAUCGAAAGCAACAAAUGAAAGAAAUAUCACCUGUAGUAGCCGGGAUUGAUGUGGAUGACAAUGCGCUCGCCAUUGUAGUCAGGUAUAGAGUUCAAAGCCGCUUGAACCGUCGUGUAGUCACCCUCCCCAAUUGUCUUGCUCACCACAAUCGUCCUCGCAACUUUGAUCCUGUUCCUAGCUGUCUUUCCGAACAUGGAAUGCUUGAGGGAACCAAUCCAGUUCACCCAGCUGACAAAAUCCUUUUCCAUUCUCUGCAAUGCAGGGCUCGAAUCAGUCGCAAGGACUUGAGCUUCACUAGGAACGAGAAACGAGCCAAGCAACAGGACAACUAAAACAUUAAACUUUGCAGACAUUGUUCUCUCACUCGUUCACAGGCAAAAGAAGCACGAGGUGGCAAAACUAGACGACAUAUCUCCGAUGUAACUAGCAAACUGGAGAUAUAAGAGGACAUGACUGCAAGCACCAGAACACUUGAAGAUGAUCUAGCAACUUAACAACGCAAGACGUGAAAGAGACAGACAAGCAUGCUAAUCUGGUCUCCACUACUAGGAAGCUCGAUUAAACAAUACAAGCAAAUCAUAGAGGAACUCACGAGCGUGGCCUGAUGAUGCACUGAAAAUCACCGUACAUAGCUUCUUCUGAUGAUUCUUCCUGCAUUCAUCCAUAGCUUUCGUCACAAACAACCAAAAAAGAGAAUUGCCAAAACCUUCGGCAUCUUCUGUAAAGCUCCAGCCCUCUUUCUUUGCCUGACAGUGUCGGCACCACUCCUCGCGUCACGAUCCAGAAGCACUGCAACAAAACAAACGAUCUGUGACCGAAGAAAAAGCAAGAAAUUCCCCUAGAUCAAACCUGCGGCAAUCGAUCGCUCCUGACAACCAUUCACUGCGCAGCGCACAUCGCCGCAUUUCCCUUUCAAUCGAACAAGCACUGGCGCCUUCGAUCGCUCCUCGUGCAUUGCUCCUCCCACUAGCCCUAGCCUAUCCUAGAGGACAAGAUAUCAUCCGAGAGAGAGAGGGAGAUUAUAUGAAGAUCGUCAUUAUAUAUGACCGGCUCUAUGUUUUUCAGCCGGUUAUUCCCUGUCUGUACAAGCGAAAAGAAUUCUCAUCCUAGAAACCAUGGAAACGAAAGAAAGAGAGAAAGAAAAAAUUUCUCCUGACCACUAUGAACACCGUAGUAGCUCCUCGCUCGUCUUAUUUCCACCACCACCACCAAUCGAUCCCUUUCAUCAGCUCGAUUCGAUCGCCCUGUUCUUCCUGCUACCACUCAAGCCGCUCGUCAAACCAUAGUAGCUCUCGUACCACUUGACGAACUUCUUGAGCCCCGUGUAGAGAUCCGUGCUGGGAUUGUAGCGCAGCUCGUUCCUCGCCAGAGUCACAUUCGCGUGAGUGAAUGGAACGUCCCCGUUUCUCGGCAUCUUGACGAAGUUCUUCUUCGCUUUCACCUUGAGAUGCUUCUCCAGGAUGCUAACCAGCUCGGGGACCGUCACCGGGGACGUGUUGCCCAAGUUGUAGACUCGGAGCUGAGCCGGGCCUCGUUUCUUCCCGCCUGUUCCAGUGCUGAGAAGCGCCGUGUCCAGAGCACCCAAGCACCCCUUGACAAUGUCGUCGAUGUACGUGAAGUCGCGGGCGAGGUCGGUUUGAUCCGGUCCUUGGUAGAUGUUGAUCGGCUUUCCCUGUAAGAUGUCCUUGGUGAAGGAGAAGUAAGCCAUGUCCGGGCGUCCGUAAGGUCCAUAGACCGUGAAGAACCUCAAGCCGGUGAUGGAGAGCCCGUAUAUGUGGUUGUAGCUGUGAGCGAUGGCCUCGCCAGCUUUCUUGGUCGCGGCGUACAAGCUCGCCGGCUGGUCGGUCCUGUCCAUCUCGGAGAACGGAACCUUGGAGUUGAGCCCAUAGACGGAGCUCGACGAGGCCCAGACGAUCGAAGGCUGCGGAUUGGCCGACUUGCAAGCUUCAAACAGCGUCACCAGUCCAGCGAUGUUGGAGUUGACAUACGAGGCCGGGUUUUGCAUGGCGUAUCUGACACCCGCCUGCGCCGCCAGGUGCAUGACGUGAGUGAACGGAACCAUGCUGAAGAGCUUGGCGAGGAGCUCCGAGUUGUUCACGUCCCCGUCGACGAUGAAGACCGACUGCUUCUCCAGAAGCUCCUGCCUUGCUCGCUUGAGUGAAGGGUCGUAGUAGCUGUUGAAGUUGUCCAGUCCGACCACACCGUCACCCCGUUUCUUGAGAGCCAGCGAUACGUGAGUGCCGACGAAGCCAGCAGCGCCUGUGACUAAAACUACCAUCCCGUUUUCUCUCUUGGUCCGAGCAGAGUGUCUGACUUGCUUCUCCCAUUUCGAUCCCCCCCAAGUCAAGGCCCUGUUCCCGAAGUGCCUGGAUUCCAAUCCUGUUUGAACUGCCGGUGGAGCCGAUAUGUGGAAGAACGCGUAGAACAUAAGCGCUACCGAAACAAACAUCCAGAAGAAAUACCUCCCCGACCCGGAAGAAUGCCAUCUGUUGGAAACUCGUCCAAAGUAGUUGUUUCUCUCCAUCUUCACCUUGCCUGGCGUCGAGGGAAAAACAUCUUGUACCGCUGACGGUGGCAUCUCGGAGUCUCUUUGAAAAGAAUUCUUCCGCGUCUCGUCAGUGAGAACAGCGCGGCAGCUCGAUUGUUUCGCAAGCUGCGUUGGAACGAGUAACACAUGGUUAGACAAAUACGAGAAAACGAAUUCAAUAGACAGAGCCUACAUUUGAGGAGAAGUCCGCGACAAGCAAAGUUUAGACAAUUCUAGGAUGCUCGCAGCAUUCAUCGCCCAAGAUGCCGGAGGAGCUUACAAUCCACUCUAUGCAAAGCUAAAAAAAGAAGAGCAAAUAGGAAAGGAAGCCCUCAACCCUUUAAUUCCCCGAAAUAAUCUUCCAGCCAUACUCACGAAGCACACCAGCAUUUCCUUCCGGCUGAGAGGAAUCCAGCGCUCCCGAAGAACAUCUGCUUCCUCCAGCCGGAAUCAAGCCCGAAAUCCACGACUCCACACAAGAAUCCGCAAGAUAGGCAGGAAGAGAGAUAGAAUCACUGACCCUGAGACGGCAAAUCCGGGCGCUGCGCCGAGCGAGUCCGCAUUGCCGCGCGCGCGGUCGAGAAUUUUGGCGCAAGCAGUAUUUCUUGAAGCCGCACACGUGAAUCUCCGGUGGCGAUGGCGGCGUGCAAUGCUACCCCUUUAUGCCGUAGAAUAUUCGCCCUUUCUCGCGGCCGUCGAUAUGUUAGAGAUCGAACGGCCUCCAGCGCACACGCCAGCUGGCGUGAAUUUAGCCGUCGGUAGUAAACACCGUUGAUAAGGACGGUUGGAUAAAGCAGACCGUUAUCACAGUGAUCAACAAACAGAGCGAGCGACCUUUUGAUUUCGUUUCUGUGAAUGGAUAUGGCCUAUCAAAUGCAUCCAACAAGACGACAUUUUCUUGGUAGCAUCGAUUUUCUGGAGAUUGUCACUGAAGUGUACUGCCAGAUCUUCCUUUUACAUUACAUUUUAUUCAAAGUUAAGCUUUUUUAUGAUAUUUUACCUCUAUACUGUAAUAAUAUUAAUGUCUAAAUGUGGUCAACGAGCUGCUGAUUUGGGCUAAAAUUGAAUACUUAGAAUUGUAAUUAAUCUUAAAGUUGCCAAAAUAGAUGUAAUAAAAUGUAAUAUAAUUUAAUAAAUAAUUUAAGAAUCUUCAAGGUAAAUAGAUAUUCUCUAUAUUAUAGUGCAUUAUACACAUAACUCACACCAAACUUGGGACAUUUUUGGUGAAAGUUUCUGAUUGAUAUUUUAUAAAUUAAAAUUUAUAUAUUUUGAAGCUUCUGUCAAUUUUAAGGUUUUAAUUCUUUCUAAGGUGUGUAGACAAUAAAAAAAUCAUUUUUAAAUAGCCUUACUAAUAUAAGAAUGGAGUCUGCACUUAUUCUUCAAUCAAAAUGCUAGUACCAACAAAAUAUUUAUGCCAUAGUGGCCAUUUCUUUCAUUUACUAAGGUAAAUUUGAAUUUAUAAUAAAGCUAAAAAUAAAAAAUUAUAUAUAUAUAUAUAUAUAUAUAUAUAUAUAUUAUGAAUAUAGAAAUGGAAUACACAAUUACCUCAAAACCAUAACUUAUAUAAAAGAGUAAAUAGUCCAUAUUGAUGAAACUAAUCUAAUAGCUGUCAAAUCCCACUACACUAAUAUUAGUAUUUAGUAUCAUAGUCAUAUAGUUAAACUGUAUAUAAUCCCUUAGAGGGUUACCAUGUUUUACAAAAAUGAAAAACAUAUAAUCCCCUAAUGAUUUCACCAUAUGUAAUACCAUAUAUAACACAUUUUAUCUCUUUCCCCUUAAACCAAUUUGAAAAAAAGUAAUUAUUUGAUAAAAGAGCCUUUAGUGGCUAUUUUAUCCCUAUUUAUCCCUUAAUAUUCCAAAGAAUAAUAAUAACAAUAUAUUUAAAUUUAAUCAUAUGAUUACAUGUGUUACAAGUAAACUCCACUCAAAUCUAUGGAAAAAUACACAUCAAAUACUAAUUUUAGGACCUAGCAUCGGUAGCUCAUAGAAAUCACAAAGGUAAAUUCAAUUUAGUUGGCAAUAUCGGACCAUGACUGUAUAAAAGUUUACAUGGUGAAGCAUCAAUAGAACUCUAUAACUUAGUAAUAUAUGCAUACUAAAGAGAUGACAUCCCAAUUCAAAUACUGAAAAUUAAUAUACUUAGCAAUCAUUCCUUUGAAGGUCCAAAUGAACCAUUUCAUCAAACCAUCUAUUUAUGGAUGAUAAACACUCAUAAAUCCCUAAUUAAAACAUUAAAAUAUGAAGUACCUCAACUAUAAAUAUAGGACUAUUAUCUAAGAGAAUUCACUUUAGAUUAAAUUGUUAGAAUACCAUCUGAUUGAGGAGGAAAUAUCUAAUAGUAGUCACAAAUGCACUAGCAAGAGUAUUAACUUCCAUCGAGCAAGUCAAAAAAGCAAUAAUAAUCUAGCAAUCAACUAUGAAAAAGACCCAUUAAAUCAAAUGCCAUUAACUCAAAUUGAAAGGAAAUUAUAAUUAAUUUCAAUUGUCUUUUUAGAACACAAGAGGGAGUAUUAUAAAUUUGGCAUCAAAUACAACUAUGCAUAUACAAAACAAUAUUGCAUUACAUUUUUGGCCAAUAGAAAGAUCUAAGCAACUACUUAGCCAUAUAACGAUGUCUAGGGUCAUGGUAAGUAAAGAGAAAGUAUAAAAUAAAAAUUGAAGGCACCACUAGUUAUAAAUGAUCAUCAAAAUCAAUCCUCACAAAAUAAAGAAGAUUAUUCUUAAAGUGAUAUUGAAAAUAUAAAUGCCAAAACAGGAAGUUAUUAGCAAGUGAUGCAAGAUUUUUAAACCCAUUAUAAAGCAUACAGACAUACGACUUAACUUUUUGAGCUUCACAAACUUUGUCAAGCUUUUUCCAUACCUUGUGGACAUUAAAUAUCAAGGACAACAACCACCAAUAGUAUAAAAUCCUUGUCCAUUGAUACUAGAAUAGGAAUAAAAGAAAAAAAUGAAAAAGGAAAAGAAGUUCAAAAAAGGGUGUUAACAUUAACUAUAAAACUCCUUAGGCCAUUGAAAUUAUAUAUUUAAAAUUUUAGAGCUUACCAAACAAUACAACCAACUAAGUUCUUUCACUUUAAUAAUGAAGUAAUUAUAAUAUGAUCACCAUUUAGUAAUAUCCAAGUGCUAUACAAAUAUAUAUAUAAAGCUUCUCAAAACCCCAAAUUAUUGCUAAACAUUUCUCUAUUGUGUUUGCAAUGUAUAGUUGAUAUAUAUAAUGGGAAAAUGUUAAUUAGCCAUACUUAUGCUCUCUUGCAUCAACACACCCUUAAGACCGAUAUUAAAAGCAUCCAUAUAUAAAAUGAAAAGUUGAGCGUAGUUAGAAUACAUUAAAACUAGAGGAGUCUAUAAGUGAGUAAAAUUUUCAUUUUAUUUUAAUCACUUAACCACACCUAGCUUUGUACUUUCACAAAAUGAGAGAUAGAGCUAGCAGAGAUUGCAUUACUAAUCCUCGUCUUCCAUGAUACAGGUACUCCCUGGACACCCAAACCAUAGGAGGUGACAUAGGAAAUGCUUGGAGAAAUCGUUUUAGUCGUGGUCAGUACCGGGUUACCGGGCGGAUGAUCCUAUGCCUCGAACGAAUGUACCGAAAAUGGCCUAGUCGAUCUGCUUAACCAAAAGUACCUGUGAGGGAUAGCCGUGCCAAGGUGUGAUACCUGGCUGUCAAUACAAAACACCACACAAUCCACUCCUACUUUCCCGCUGAAUCGGAUAUGGACUUAUGUGUGGCUUUUCAGGAUUUUUGGCUACCCGAGAUGACAGUGUACGUGAACACUGAUGAUUUUGUGGCUCCCGUCCCAGCUGUGCAGUAGUUUUUACUACUCUUAGCCGCCAAGGAAACAGAGCACUUACAAGAGAUCUUUGUAUAUGAGAAGAAGAUCGUGAAUAAGCUGCUCAUGGUGCCAAAAUCAGAGGUGGUUGGCAAGAACAAGUGUCAGCUCUGCCUCUUCCAGUAGGUUGAAACCAAAGAAUGGUGGUGCCUGAUCUGGACACUCCUUACCGAUCGGGUGAAUGAUAACCAAGCUUGACUACGACAGUGGAUGGCAGAUAUGGAAAAAGAACUUGUUAAUUUCUCCUCUGCCGAACCAAGGAUUACUUGGAAAAUGCUCCAAUGGUCCCAAGAGUACAAUUGGGUCACAGGGUAUAAAGGCUCAUACAGGAAAGGCAUUGAUAUGGGGAAACCACAGAUUGACCUUAGUGAUGGUUUUGAGUUCCUAAGACAAAAUGCAUAUUCACUCAUGACUGGACUCAUCCCGUCGCAGCUAGACACCUUGGAAGGAGAAAACAUGGACCGUAUUGAUAAUGGUCGUAUCAUGUUUGACCUGUUGGAGAAUUUGAGUGGAUAGAAGUUCCCCUUUGCCACCACACGAGUUCUUGAUGCAACCUCCCACCGCCUUCCAGAACUGCAUAAGUUCUGGAUACUCAUGAAUCCUCUAGGAUGGAUGUCCCCCUUGGAGGCAUCCAACUAGAUCCAGAUGGCGGGUUUGUUACAACUGGAUGCAAUACAGUGGUCAAAAUAGACACUAGAGGUGUCAUACAGACAUGCAACACUGGGGAACUAUGCUUAUAAACUAGCUAUCCCAUUCCAAAAGACCAUGGAUGAGGUUUUCAAGCUUGCUACUUUCCAUGGAUGCUAUGAUGGUGAUGCCUUUUUGAAUACAAAAAGCUGGAACCUAUCACAAGGAGAUCAACGUACUUGGAAUCAGCUUCAACUGUACUACCACUGCGAUUGCCAGGGAUGUGAAGGAGGAAUUGUCUGGCUUGACUCCUCGUUCUGGUACAUGCUUAACAACUAGGACAAGUACUGGCCAAACUCAAGCUUGAUGUUGUUAGACUGCCUCACCAUCUUCCUAUCCCUACUCAUGGCUAAUCUGUAGGUGAUCCUCAAGAUAGCUGCCUUCCUUCAAAUCCGAGAAUGGAUGCAAGCAGCUGCUAUCGAGGUGGCAAAAAAGCCAGCUAACCCGGAUCUAGAGUUCAUCCCGCAUGGACAGACUAAGAUGAACAUAUGUAAGUUCAUCUCUAUCCAACAGUACAAGUCCCUAACGUCCUCAUGAUGUGAUAGUAGUGAAAGUAAUGGAGCUUUCUCACCGACACCAUCCUCACAACACACGCCAGUAAGGUCUCGAGGCUUACCACUGAAUCGGAAACGUGAUCGUCCCGACGGACAAACGUCCAUGGGACUGGCAUCAUAGGAGAUGGGCACACCACUAUCAAUCUCCAAGACCUCUGAGGCCAAUGCAAGCUCGAACAAACAGAAGCUACGCAAAAGGCUUGGUGCAAGAAAGUAGUGAUAAAUAAAUUUAUGUUUUCUUCUUCCAUGAUUGGUAGCUAAUGAAAAUGCUCUCGUGAUUGCUUCCAUAGUGUACUUUACACUAUAUCCAUCAUUUGGCCAUAUAAAAAUGGCUGGUCAAAGAGGGAACGGAGAGCAAACGAAAAUUCAUACACCUCUGAUAUGUCACUGCCGGAUUCGAAAAGAUCAAUAUCCGCACUCUCAUGAGGGAGUGCCUGGAAAUGAUUGGCUUAGACGUGGAACUUUUGGAUCCCAUUGUAUUUGGCUGGAGGUAUGAACCCCAAAUAGAACACGACUUUUAUAAACCCAAAGAGGUUUUUUGUAAUUAGAACACUCUUGAGCCUCUUGUUUGUGAGUGCAAACAGUGGCUAUGGGUGACCUACCUCGACGAGAUUGGCCAUGUGCGAACAUUGGAUCCAAAGAUCCUUGGUUCAUGCAUACUUAUGGCUAUCAUCGAGAAAGGCCUCAAUCACAUCACCCCAAAACCACUCCAAAUAGCAAAAAUUAUUACUAAAAUCUGUGAAGCUUGGGAUCGGAUUGCCAGUAUAAUCCCAAAUGUUUACAUCUGCAACUGGCCAAGUAACGAAGCUGCUGUUAAACAGCACAUCAACUACCGGGUCCGAAUGGUAGUACAAAAUUCCCAAACCACCCCAACUGUAGAGGUGAUGACCACCCCCGAGGCACAACGGCAACUGGAGUGGGUACAUAAACACCUAUACAUCAGUGAUGCUGAUAAAGUGGCUAACACACCCACCUUCUUUUGCAAAAUGUUAGCCCACGGGGAAGCACUUGGGUAGAUGAAUAGCGACGACUUCUCACUCUCUGUCUCGGAAAAUAAUGUCCUUGAAACGCCCGAGAAAGUUGUAGAAAAACUGCUCAAUGACCCAUUUCUAUAGGAAUUUCUGCCUUAGCAACCAGAUCUCCCCUACCUCAUGGGAAUCUAUAAAGCGCACAAGAACAAAAUGCACUGGUUGACGAAUGCGGAUGGAUAUGUCUUCUCAGAAAUCACAAUCUGCCUAAUAGCUAUCCUAACAGGGAUACAGGAGGCGCUACAAAAUGUAGCUGAUGAUUUCUACACACAGGCAAAUUUCUUUGGAGGAAAGAUGAAUGUGUGCUGGAUCCUUGGAUCCACACAAGAGUUCGCGAUUAAUCUCCUAAACAGGAUCACCACGAUCUACAUGGGAGAUAUCACCAAGUGCUAUGAGGCCAUCCCCCUUGAGGGAGACCAAAGCCUUACGAUGGUUAUGACACAUUUAGUCAAUUUAGCCUUCGUGCACCAAAAUCACCUCAAAAAAGACUUUUUUUUUAUUCAAAAAAAGAAUGGUGAGCUUGAGGCCAAAUGGAAACCUCUAUGCCACUCAUCAAUAAAGGCUACUAGAAUGGAUCCAACAAAAGUUAUCGAGCCAAAUAACUUUAUCAUCCAGAAAACAUGUGUUUAGUUGGGCAAUAGAGUAUGGAGACAAGUCUGAAGAAUUCCCAUAGGCUUCUCAUGGUCACUUUUGUGGUGUAACCUGUACCUUUUCUACUUCGAGUACAAUUUUCUUACUCGACUUACACGUCUAAGCCAGUAUAAUUUACUUUGCCUCUUCAAGCACACUUUCAGGUACAUGGACGAUCUUGUUUCAAUGAACAACCCCAUGAUCCUCCGCUUCCUUGACCCUGAUCAAGUCAAAUCUGAAGGGAAUCCGUUCUAGAUAUAUCCACUAUGAUUCCUUGCCAUGCAAAAUGAGAUGGACAAUCCAUUCAUAGAUACGGACGGCUCGCUAGUGAACCUGUCUGCUCAUUUCCUAAGCCUAUAGAUCCAGAUCAUACAGGUUGACAGUACUUUUUUAACCACAAAGUAUGAUGAAUGCCGAUCACUUCCAUUCAAAGUCUCGCUGUAUAUUUAUCGAGAUUCAAUUCGACCCAUGAUAAACUCAUCCAAAGUAAUCCUGGGACAAGUCUUUGCACUUUUCUAUCUGAUUAACACUGCCGGUGGUAUCGUCCUUGAGAUUGAUAAUCUCAUUGAAUGCUUCAUGGAAAAAGGAUUCCAUUGCUAUGCAUUAAGACAACUCAUCCUUCGUGGUCUGGAUUGCAUUAUUCUGACCAGCCCCUUAUCACCAGUGCAAGUAGUGCUUGAUAUUCUCUUUGGCAUUUGGAGAGAGCCAGCCAAUCACCCACUAUAGCUCGAUGACUCAGCAAACUCAAGUUGAGGGCCAAGGAUUCUAUCUUUUAGACAAUAUUAUCCAUCAUUUGGGCAUCAUAUUGAAACAUAAUAGAUUUGGUGUCUAUGCCCUUUUGGACUGUGAGCAACAAAAGAACAAUUCCCCCAAACUUACCAUGAAGUCUUUGGUUACGCUCUGAACAAAAUGUGUAGGUGAACCAUCAAUUACAUUUGUGUUUUUAUUAGAUAAAUGGAAAAUACAACACAAGUUCUGCUCACAGAUCCCAUGCCUAGAUAACAAAAAGGUUUCUUUAAAAAUAAUUUUUAAAGAAAAUCUUGUUUACAGAAAACUUUGUUUUCCCAUUGACAAGUUAAUGGGACACAUGAGUAGAUGUGGCAUGGUAAAAAACAAAAGCUUGGAUUUUUCAUAGAAUCUUACGCUGAGAGAUAUUGUAGCGCACGUGGUUUUGACCCUUUAUCCUACGGGGAUUUACCAUAGGAUAACACCACGAAGCGGAACCUAAACCCUCUUUGUGCCACGUGACAGAUGCCACGUGUCACAUGCCACGUGUCCAUGCCACGUGUCCAUAAGAACCCGAGGUUCAGGGCCUUGGGCCACUGAACGAACGAACGGUGCCAAACUCCCAAGCAUAGAGCCAAGGAGUGAUGGAACCGAACCACGGAGCAACUUUCGAGCAUAUAGCCCAAAGAGUGAAGGGACAAGGGCCCGGAGCGACUUGGAACAAUCUUGGAGCAACCAGCAUCCCAAUGCCAGGACUAGCAUGCAAAACGGAGCCAAACGGAGUCUGGUGCUAUUUCGGCAUACCGGUGGCCUAACGCGAGGAUAUGGGUACUCCACCAACUAGCAUGGAAUGGAACUUGGGCUUAGACCCAAGCCGGACGCAGAACAAGGACAGGCACGCAAGCGGGAGCUAGACUAUGCCUCAUGUUGGUCGGCCAUGCCCGACCUACCCACUAUCCCUACUAUACAUUUGGAACCCCCCAUAGCCCCCCCCCCCCCUUGAGGAACACACGCUUUGGGCUUUCACCCCAAGCCUCCCAUAGUAUCAGGAGUUAGUCUCUGGGACAAGCUCAAAACUUACUAAAUAUGGAAUGUCCCUAGAUUGCGAAUUUGGACACGGGACGAACACCAUUGUGUUCAAGACGAUUUCUACAUUCCGUAGAUAUGCCAAAUGAGCAAAUCUGGACACUUUCCAUAAAUAGCAUCUGGGACGAAUUGAGACUAACACAAAGGGCAUGAUAGUGAGGGUGUUUGGCAGACACGGUAAGCUAUCAUGUAGUGAUAUUGAGGGACCAAUCUCAAUACGCAAGGGUUCUUGUCAAGCUAGUGCAAGACAGAGCGAAAGAGAACUAACAAGCCGGGCCAAGUAUGCUCAGCUAAAUAGACACUUAGGAAUUCCUUCCUUAUGCUCAUCCGGCCAAGUACAGAUGCAAAGUCCAGUUUACUAACACUUGAACAAGAGGGACUAAUAAAGGGUCAAGCAAUACCGACCUCCUGCCAUCGUGGCAGUAAGGUAAGAGUGUCCGUAAGGACUAGCCGACAGGUAACUUUCGAUACCUGAAGUCACAUUCGCGACACUCUCCCCCCCUUGGGAAGAUCGACGUCCUCGUCGAUGCAUACUCGAGUCUAGAAUACCACCAAGGAAACAACUCCAGAAAAAGUUCACGGUACUCACACUAUGUGAGAAAUGCACCAACUUAAAUGAGUUAGGGGGUAACCUCUUUGUCUAACGCGGAUGCGCUACUAGCUCAGACACCUUCCGGCCGUCGCCGACAAGGAAAUGACCAACAGAGUCAGCCACCCUUGUUGCUCUGGGUGUCACCCAGCUACAAAAGUGUGAUACGCCCUGCCCGCAGGGACAUAGAGAGAGAAGCCAGAGGCCCCAACCCUCCUGAGCAAAGAAACCAAACCCGUCGGUAAGGUUUGGAUAGACUACUGUAAACAGGCAGUUAGAGUUGUUUACACGGUCACGCCCUUUCAACAGAAUAAGGAACAUCGACAGAGAGGCGGGUGAUGUGACCAGUCGACUGUAGCUACCCCAUGACUAGAGAUUUCAACAUGCACACGAAGUGCCGAAGCCAGUCUGCCUAUACUGGCCCAAACUCAAAGAUCAAGAUAUAGGGACUGUAUCAAAGUCAGAGACAAUGAUAUCUGAGAAGCUUAAUUACUAGUGAUUAUAUCUUAGAGUAGAACACAAAAGUAUUCUAAGCAAGUUAUCAUUCGAUAAACCAGUAGUAUUGUAGAUAGGAACCACCAAGAUCACUAUAAUUGGUAAACAUAGGAAUCACCAUCCAACAACAUUCAAUAGCUAGUAUAUCAUCAAGGAAACUCAAUGAUGAAACUUAACUACCGAAGAUAGUAGACAGUAAGCCAACAACUUACUAAAGAGAACUCAAAGAACACAAAGUAUCAUUGACUAACAAGCACAAUGCUCGCGAAUGUAUCACCCGAAGGAAAUAACAUCCUAAUCUAUAAGAACUAACUCUGGCAAUAAUCAACAGAACAAAAUGAAUGUUGCAAAGCAAGCAAAUAUAGUGUUCAUGCCAAUCAUUGCACUAGCCAAUCCAGAUAGAUCCCAGCCAAUAACACCAAGGAACUCAAGUUGCCUAAGCAAGUGUCAGCAACAUCCUACUGAUGUCUCAAUCCCAAGAGACCAAACCAGAGCAAACCACAAAUAACAUGUGGUAUUGCGAAAAGCCAUAAGCUAUCAAAGAUAAAAACUAACCAUCAUGAAAGAUCAUCAAUUAUCCCAUCAAUAAAGAGAUGCAUAAUCACCAUCUAAGAAGGAAUCCACCAUCCUGAGGAACAACAAACCAUUCUAUACCAACAAUAAUUAAGCAAAACCUUUUUGACAAGGAUAAUCAACUAUCCCAGAUAAUAGUCAAUCAUCACCAAUGAUUGCUAGAUGCAAAAGCCAACUUCAACAUCGAAGCUAAUAAGCCAAAAUGCUUUCCCCAACAACUUCUAACAAAUGGAACAAUGAGCAUAAAACUCAAAGAACCAAAGCUUGAAGAAGCCUAUAGCCAAGUCUUGCUUAAUAAUGAUCACGAGUCUCAUAGAAGCUAACUUCAAUGCUAAAGAAGAAAUUAUGGUGCAACCCACAAUGUCUUCUUCAACACAUCCAUAAGCCAAACUUCAUAAUGCCAAAGCUAAUGAAGAGCAUUUCUGCAUCAAUCCAAAAGCUAAGCACAAUGGAGCUAUGCUCAACAAGUGAUCACUAAACGAUCCUCCAUGAAUCCAUCUAUAGCAAGACAUAACUCACUUCAUAACAAGCCCAAAAAGAAUCAUUAAUGAUUGCUAUAUCCCGAACUUAAAUCUAGCAAGGACUCAACAUUCUAAUAUCGAUCACUAACUCUUCUUCUCGUAUAGUUAGCAUAGUCCACGACUGAAUCACUUUUCAAGGAAAAGCUAAAGCUCAACCCUCUACUAAAUAAUCUCGUCUAGAACACAACUAACUCAACUUGCCACUCAGUUCAACGUCAACACAGUUGCUAACUAGCAAAUGCACGAAUGCCAACAACACAAAGCUAUAGCCAAAUCAUCAACACUAUAUUCAUCAAAACUAAUGAAACUCAAUAUCAAUCCUUGGAAGGAUAUCUCAUUUCACUCAGAUCUCAAUAUCAACAAUGUCAAUGACAAAGCAUCACUUCAAUGCCAUCAACACCAAAACAAAGCUAGAAGAAAGCAUGAGUGAAUCACCACUCAAAACUCUCUAGCAACCAAGCUAACCAAAGUCGAAGAUACUUUAGUCCGUAUCCAAGACCAAUCCUCCAAUAAAACUCAGUUACAGAUAACACUUCAUCAAGGAGUGAUUCACCACAUCUAAGACUCAAUGAAAUCUAACACUACAGACUAAAUGUAACCAAAUGAUAUCAACAGAGGUAGAGUCGACAUGCCAACAUGAAAAACUCAUGUAAGUCUAACGACACGAUCCUCCGCAACACCAUCCGGUAAAGCAAGCCCAUCACUGCUAAAUCAUCAUCGAGCAAAGCAAGUGUUAACAGUCCUUGACGAAGUCUACAAGUAAUCACUAGUUGCAAAGCAACUAACAAUCACUCCUCAACUUACCUUCACAAGACCCAAACACUAAACUCAUACCAUUGAAUCAUAUACUUGUCCAACAUGAACAUAAUACCCCAGGCACGAGAUAAAGGUUCAUGGACAAGCACAAAUUAAAUGACCACUCAAAUCCAACUCAACCGUAAUAAGCUCAUCAACACGUCUAGUCAAUAGCUCCGAGCAUGCCUUGAAGAGGCUAGCUACACAUGAUCAACACUAAGUCGAAACUCAAGUGAAGACCAUGAGAUGGACUCAUAUCGGUACACAACCUCCUCAUAGACAAAGCUAUAGUACGGGUACCAACAUCUCAACCUCAAACAACUAAGUUGGACAUCACCAUCCUUAGCCAAGGCGCAGGGCCACCAAGACCAAGUCAAGAUCAGUGAGAGCUCACUACUCUUAUAGAGUUUUAACAAAAUGCAAGGUGCAACCCACCACCGAGCAUAAUGCUACAAAAGAAAAGCACAAGGGUCACCCUUCUUAGAAAAGUGCCACUUUUCUAUAUCAACUCUAGACUCUAUCCAACUCAAUUGUUUUAGCCCCAAAAGUUAGCAUCCCUUUCGGGCCGCAUUAUACAAACUACCUAUCAAGGUCUAAGCUAACCAAAGUCAACUCCAACCCCUUCACUAGUUUGUACUGACUUACGAAAAUGGAAAGGUUUUCGGACAAAGUGAUCAACGGAUCAGCUAUUGGAAAAGCCUAAGAAAAUUUGUGGAAAAUUUCCAUCCUAGAGAAAGAAUGACUCUCAGUCCAGGAUUGCAAACUUUCAAGACUCAACCAACUUCAUCCUACAAACAACUUCACAUAGGUUCACCUCGACACAGAUUCUUAUGACCCAAUAGCAUGCUUAAGCAUCGAACAUCUUUGCCCAUAUAACCGACAUCGAACACUAACAUCCGCAAAGUGCAAAAUGAACAUCCAAGGCUUGAUCACGAAGACCACAUCUUCGGAUAUCCAUAUUGCACUAACACCCUUCUUCAAUCACCUUCAAGAUCCAAUGUGAAGCCAAAACACUAACAAGAAAAAUGACAUGGAAAAAUCAAGGUCCAAGGAAAAUUCCUCAUCACUUGAAAUAACAAUGCCACUUCCACUAACACAAGUGCUAGUGAUGUCAAUGCCCCAACUAUACAUCUUCUCCAUCCAACAAUCUACUCCAAGUGCUAACGGAUCAACCGACAAGCUAUAGCAAAUGAAUGCUACAACCCUUUCCAACACCUAACAGGCAAACUCAAGGAAACAAGGUACCAACUUAAGCUUAGCAUAAUGGACCACCAUCGAGAAUCUAGUCAAAGCUACUACAAUGCUACUUCGUGCAAGUAGACUAGCUUCUCCAUCAACCACUUUGGGGUUGAUCAUCAUUUAACCAAGCAACUUCGUAAACACAUUGCUCAUUAUCACAUGGAUAUGAUAUAGAAAUCACAAUAACUUGAUCAUCAAUUGAGCAAUACCACGAGUAAUGCCAAUGUCAUUACUUUAAAGGUUUAUGUGAGUAUCAAGUGCUAACUCAAUUUGACAAAAUGCAACAUAAAUGCCACACUCCACCGAUAGAGAUUUACAACACCCAACAUCACUAACUUUUGUUCACAACACGGACAAGCUCAUGCCACUCUCUUUCCGACCAAACUCAACACUAAUCCAACACCAAGCUACUCAAGGAGCAAUAGCAAGGUUCCCCGAAAAAGAAUUGAGCAUUGCAACCCCAGUCUUCCAUAGCAAGCCUAGACAAAAUGGUAUAACGUUUCACCGCUAUCCAUUCCACAACUCACCAUUUGUAAGACCAUCACUUCCAACAUGCAUCAAGAUAGGGACUCUUGAUUGCAUGAUGUGAACACAAGUAAUGAGUUAACACCUCGUUGCAGAUCAUCUCUCCAAGAAGAGAAAAUGAUUUAUGUAUUUGAUCCUCCGUCCCCGAUGACUCUCUUUUCAGUUUCAUCUUUGACUAAACCUCAAACUUGCUUUCGCACUGCCUUCAGUUCAAUCCAAGAAAAGUUUAUGAGAGAGCACGGCCAUGACUACUUGAACCAAUAGACUAAUCCCUAUAGUCUUGAUUGAUCCACUUAUAAUCAUGCCUAGGAAGGAUCCACUAGUGCCGUGCUAAACAGCUACGGACCAGCCUAUUUGCCACUCAUAGCAAACCCAGGGAAGUUUGCGUUCACCCAUGGUACAUGGAACAACUCAUGGAUCCACCGAUAGGCUAACAUUAAUCCUGCCAACUCAAAGUGUAACCUCAAGUUGCUAAUGCGCCUCACUCACGAGCCCAAGCGCAAACUCGUGUAACAUAACAACUUAGUCCACCCUAUGAGCCCAAGAGCAAGCUCACAUAUUAUGAAACACAGAGGUAACCAAAACCUAUCCCAAGGAACCAAUGCGAAGUCUUUGCACCAAAACGUGUACCCACUCGGAUCAUCGUUUUCAUCUCUGCGUAUGCAACGAGACUAGUUGCCCAAUCUCAUUGGAUAGUUCUCGCCGAGACUCUAUCUCUGAUACCAAAUGUAGUGCACGUGGUUUUGACCCUUUAUCCUACGGUGAUUUACCAUAGGAUAACACCACAAAGCGGAACCUAAACCCUCUUUGUGCCACGUGACAGAUGCCACGUGUCACAUGCCACGUGUCCAUAGGAACCCGAGGUUCAGGGCCUUGGGCCACUGAACGAACGAACGGUGCCAAACUCCCAAGCAUAGAGCCAAGGAGUGAUGGAACCGAACCAUGGAGCAACUCUCGAGCAUAUAGCCCAAAGAGUGAAGGGACAAGGGCCCCAAGCGACUUGGAACAAUCCUGGAGCAACCAGCAUCCCAAUGCCAGGACUAGCAUGCAAAACGGAGCCAAACGGAGUCUGGCGCUAUUUCGGCAUACCGGUGGCCUAACGCGAGGAUAUGGGUACUCCACCAACUAGCAUGGAAUGGAACUUGGGCUUAGACUCAAGCCGGAUGCAGAACAAGGACAGGCACGCAAGCGGGAGCUAGACUAUGCCUCAUGUUGGUCGGCCAUGCCCGACCUACCCACUAUCCCUACUAUACAUUUGGAACCCCCCAUAGCCCCCCCCCCCUUGAGGAACACACGCUUUGGGCUUUCACCCCAAGCCUCCCUUAGUAUCAGGAGUUAGUCUCUGGGACAAGCUCAAAACUUACUAAAUAUGGAAUGUCCCUAGAUUGCGAAUUUGGACACGGGACGAACACCAUUGUGUUCAAAACGAUCUCUACAUUCCAUAGAUAUGCCAAAUGAGCAAAUCUGGACACUUUCCAUAAAUAGCAUCUGGGACGAAUUGAGACUAACACAAAGGGCAUGAUAGCGAGGGUGUUUGGCAGACACAGUAAGCUAUCAUGUAGCGAUAUUGAGGGACCAAUCUCAAUACGCAAGGGUUCUUGUCAAGCCAGUGCAAGACAGAGCAAAAGAGAACUAACAAGCCGGGCCAAGUAUGCUCAACUAAAUAGACACUUAGGAAUUCCUUCCUUAUGCUCAUCCGGCCAAGUACAGAUGCAAAGUCCAGUUUACUAACACUUGAACAAGAGGGACUAAUAAAGGGUCCAGCAAUACCGACCUCCUGCCAUCGUGGCAGUAAGGUAAGAGUGUCCGUAAGGACUAGCCGACAGGUAACUUUCGAUACCUGAAGUCACAUUCGCGACAGAUAUGCCAUACGGAUAAGCAAACCUAAUUACAAGCUAUAACUAUUGGACUUCAUGGCUGCGGGCACUGGAUUUUCUCACAUCGAAAGGUAUGAAGCGAUGGGAAAAACCCUAACAUUAGGGUUUCUUGCUUGCAUCCAUUGCCGCCGCAUUCUCCAGGAGCACAUCCACAAGCAGAGCAAGGUUGGGCUGUUGCAAGGCUAUGUGCUAGCACAACCACGCAUAUUCCCUGCCCACUCCAGGAUCAACAGCCACUUUAUUGCACACUACAAGAAUGAGUAGUGCCAACGAAGUGUUUGCUUGGGUAUACCUCAAAACAAGCUUACACCCACCACUAAGGUCACAAGGAAUCUCACUACUGCAUUCCUGGCCACGCAAAAAUGGGUAAAACAAUUUGGUUUCUUCAUUUCUCUUCACCCCUGGCUUGUAGGAACUUUUUCUGGCUAGAACACCGGAACUUAGUGCCAUGGCAGCACAAGGGGUGUUCAUUGACUCUGCCCAGGUAGUGCUUGUGAAUCAACUAUUCCAGUUUCUAAUCAUCCCCUUAGAAAAAAGACAGGAUGACAGUGACUAGACUAGACGACGAGAUCCAUAAGUCAAUAGAUAGCGAUCAGAUUGAGCAUGUUCCCUAGUUCUAGUCUCUAGAAGUUACUUUUGAUGUGUGGCCCGGGCAUGUACCUAAGUACAUUGGCUUGCGAGCAUUAGUCGUGCAAAUCUCAGUUCAUUCUUGAAACCUAGCUUCCUACUUUCACAAAAUGAGAGACAGAGCUAGCAAAGAUUGCAUUACUAAUCCUCAUACCCCCCAAACACCCAAACCAUAGGAGGUGACAUAAGAAAUGCUUAGAGAAAUCAUUUUGGUCGUGGUCAGUACCAGGUUACCGAGCGGAUGAUCCUAUGCCUCAGACGAAUAUAUUGAAAAUGGCCUAGUCGAUUUGCUUAACCAUAAAAGGCUUCUUUUAAACACCACUAGACACUUCUCAUCCCAAUCAUGACUAGUGGCAUGUUUUUAUAUGUUUUGGAGAAAAUUGGUCAAGGGAGUAGCAAUCUCUAAGAAGUCCUUCAUAAAUCAUUACAAAACUCUAGCCAUACCAAGGAAAUUAUAGAGAUCAUACAUAGUCAAAGUGUUCGAUAGGUUGGGAAAGGCAAAAUACUUCUCAAGGAUUGACAUAAGGUUAACAUAUUACCAAAUUAGGGUAACAAGGGAAGAUGUCAAGAAGACAACCUAUCAAAUAAGAUAUAGAAGCUUUGAGUUUUUGGUGAUGCCCUUUUGACUAUACAAUUCAUCGACAACAUUCUCGGCAUUGAUAAAUUACAUUUUUGUACCUUAUUUGAAUUACAAUAAGACAAUCUUUGCCUUGAUAUCCAAUCUUGUAGUAAUGAGAAUAAUAACCCUCCACCUUGUCAUUCUUUUAUUGGUUCAAAUGAAGUUUCUUGGCCUCAUUACCAUCUCUAUUCUUCGAGUCAUGAUAUAGUAAUGGUUUUUUCUUCACCAAAUAUGGAGCAUUGGCUAGUUGGUCAUUAUAUUAACUACCCUAUAGACCAUCCUAUUGAACAAAUUUGACUAAUUUGAUUGACAAUUUUGGUGAAAAGAUUUGAGCCUUAGUGAUAGCAUGACCUAUAAGUUUUAUCACAAAAAGUCAAUCUUUACCUUGUCCUCAUAACAGUUGUAACCCCAACUUUGCCAUGAUUCCAAUCAACAAUCAAUUUCAUAGCUAUUAUAAAUAUUUGGUGACAAUUUUUAUUCCAUGAUACUAUAAUCCUUGGCAUAUUUUACGUACCAAUAGUAUUCAUAGACACAACAUUGAUUCAACCCUUGAUGUGAAGCAGAAAAUUUGUAAUACAUGUUGUUUUCACCCUUUACCCUAUAGUGUUUUACCAAAGGAUAACCAUAAAGUGGAACUCUAGCUUUUGGAUACAUAGGCCAAGGGUAGUGGAAUAAAACUUGAGUUCAAGGCCUUGAGCUACUAAACUAAAAGACAGAGCUAAACUUUUGAGCAUAUAGACAAGGAGUGAAAGAGUUAUAACACAAAAUGACUUUUGAACAUUCAACUCAAGGAGUGAAGGAAUAGGAGUAUGGAGCAACUCCCAAACGUACAACCUAAAGAGCGAAGAGAUAGGGGCAUGAAGUGAUGUUAAAAUAGUCUUAGAGCUUCUAACAUCUCAAUAUCAACACUAGCACGCAAAAUGGAGUUAAAUGGAGUCUAGUGUUAUUUUAGCAUACUGGUGGUCUAAUACAAGGAUAUAGAUACUCCACUAGCUAACAUGGUAUGCUUAUGCUUAAACCCAAGUCGAAUGUAGAAUAAAGAUAAGCAUGCAAGUAGGAGCUAGACUAUGCCUCAAGUUAGUCAGCCAUGCCUGACCUACCUAUUAUCCCUACUAUACAUUUAGAACCCCUCAUAAUCCUAUUAUAAGUAAUUAAAGAAAAUUACCUGAAAAAUGAUCCAUAAAGUUCAAAUAUAGAGAGAAAAGGCCCAUAAAUAAAAGUGCAUCCUCUUUUUCAAACAAUUAAGGGAUUUAGGAACUUAGGGUUAAAAAUCCUCGGGUUUAAAUAGUACUAGACUAGGUGACCUUUCGAGAAGUCCAAACUCAAGAGGUUACAUUUCGUAUCAGAAGGGGUCUCUCGCGUCCAACUUUAUUGGUUGGCUAGAGGAAUUACAUCACAUGUUGAUUGACAUUUAGCAAAUCCAGUUUGCUCCUGUUAGGCUUAACCUGAAGAGUGGGGUGUCAAGAGAGUAUGGCUCUCGAGAGAGCUACAACUCUUAGCUUCCAUUCAUAAGGGCGUGAAUUUGUAGGGAAGCAUAGUGAAUUGUAAACAACCAAAAACUUAAGAGAUAAUACAUAAAGUUCAAAUAUAGAGUGCACCCUUUAUUUCAAUCAGUUAAGGGUUGUAUGAUACUUAGGAUUAAAUGUCCUUAGAUUUGAAUAGUAUUAGGUUGGGUGACUUUCUGGGAAGUCCAAAUGCAGGAGCUUACACCUACCCUAUAGUGUUUUAUAAUAGAAUAAUCAUGAAACGAAACUUUAACCCUUGGACACAUGGGCCAAGGGUAAUGGAGCAAAACCCAGGUUUAGGGCUUUGAGCCAUGGAACGAAGACACAGAGCAAAACUCUCAAGUAUAUAACUAAGGAGUGAAAGAAUUAGAGUAAAGAUGACUUAUAAGCAUUCAACUUAAGGAGUGAAGGAGCAAGAAUAUGGAGUGACUUUUGAACAUACAACCUAAAGAAUGAAGGGAUAGAGGCACGGAACUAAAGCAUGGAUAACUCAUGAGCAUUCAACUUAAGGAGUGGAGCAAGAGUAUGGAGUGACUCUCAAAUAUACAACCCAAGGAGCAAAGGGAUAAAGGCAUGGAGUGAUGUUGAAAUAGUCCUAGAGUUUCCAACAUCCUAAUGUCAAGACCAACAUGUAAAAUAGAACCAAAUGGACUUUGGUGCUAUUUUAACAUAUUAGAAGCCUAAUGCAAGGAUAUAAGUACUCCACUAGAUAGUAUAGUAUGGAGAUUGGGGCAUAGACCCAAGCCAAAUAUAGAACAAAAACAAGUACUCAAGCAGAAGCUAUAUUAUACCUCAAGUUGGUCAACCAUGCCCAACCUACCCACUAUCACUAUUAUAUAUUUGGAAGCCCCAUGGCCCUACCCUAUGGUGUUUUAUCAUAGGAUAAUUAUGAUGUGGAACUUUAACCUUUGGACACGUAGGCCAAGGGUUGUUGAGCAAAACUUGAGUUUAGGGCGUUAAAACACUUAAAGAAGAGAUAGAGACAUACUCCCAAGCAUACAAUCAAAGAGCAAAUAAAUUAGAGUAUGGAUGACUUCUAAGUUCAAUUUAAAGAGGGAAGGAGUAGAAGCAUGGAUUAACUCCCCAACAUAUAGCCCAAUGAACAAAGGAAUAGGAGCAUAUAAUGAUGUUGAAAUAGUCCUAAAGCUUUUAACACCCCAAUGUCAGAACUAACACACAAAAUAGAACCAAAUAGAGUUUAGUGUUAUUUCAAUAUAUUGGCGGCCUAACACAAGGAUAUGAAUACCCCACUAGCUAGCAUAAUAUAGAGCUUGGGCUUAAACCCAAGCUGAAUACAAAACAAGGACAAGUAUGCAAGUGGGUGCUAGACUAUGCCUCAAGUUAGUCAAUCAUGCCUGACCUACCCACUAUCUCUAUUGUAAUGCAUCUUAUUUUUCUCCCCAUAAGCCAAUUGAAAAAUAGGCAAUUGCUUAAUAAGAAAACCCUUCGUGGCUAUUUUAUCCUCAUUUAUCCCCCAAUGUUCUAAGGAUCUAUAAUGACAAUAUAUCUAAAUCUCAUCCCAUGAUCACGUACACUACACUCACCCCCUUUUUAGAGAUGUCAAUGUCCUCAUUGACUAUUGACUAACAACUUCUACUAAGCCAAGGGGAACUAGCACCACCAUUUCCGCACUAAAUUUACCAAUUCUUCCAUUGUGUAGACCAACUAUUUUAUGUAAGGCAAUUAGUCAUCCACUCGUACCGCAGUCCCACGGUGGAUACCUUCAUCUGUGGAUGCUCCACCAAGAGGAAGGAUGUAUGCAUGGAUGCCCAAUACAUACGAUUUCAAAUUUAGGGGUAAGAAUAUACCUUGCUCAAGGGUAUAUUAUACUUUUAAGUAGCCACUAAUCAAUGGGAAUCAAACCUGUGCCAUUUCCUCUGAUACCACAUGUAACGCACCCUAUCUUUUUCCCCUUAAGCCAAUUGAAUUGAUUAAUAAGAGAGCCUUAGUGGCUAUUUUAUCUCUAUUUAUUCCCCAAGGUUCUAAAGAUUCAUGGUGACAAUAUAUCUAAAUCUCAUCCCAUAAUCACAUGCGCUACACCUAUUAUACAUAUUAUAUAUUUGGACAUGGCUAAAGACGUCUAAAACUAUGUAAAGACAUGUCCAAUAUAUUAGUAGGUCAAAGCCAUGAUUAAGGCAAGUGGGGGCUUAUUACAAAGCCUCCCAAUUCUAGAUCUUCCAUAAAAAUGUCUUAUCACGGGAUUCCCCCCAAGUGAGGGGUUGAUGCAAUAUUCAUGAUGGUGGACUGAUUUUCAAAAAUAGCAUAUUUUAUACCCACCACAAUGGAAGUGGAUGCAAAAAGUGUGGCAAAGCUAUUUUUUUAACAAGUGGUUUGAGUGCGGGGAAGGCCAAAAGAGAUUAUCUCAAAUCGAGAUAAUAUUUUCACUAGGUAUUGGGUAUUAAGUCAAGUUUAAUGGCAUUAACACUUCUUGAUAGAUGGACAAAUGGAAAGGGUGAAUAGAUAAUUAGAGGAUUAUUUGCAAUGUUAUAUCUUCGAAGACCAGACUUAUUGGGUUUAUUUAGAACUUGUGAAAAUGUGUUAUAACAAUUCACCACAUUUAAAUAUUGGGGUGAGUCCAUGGGAAGUCAUCAAUGGGUGAACUAUUGAAGGUCCUAUGAAACUCGGCAUAGCUGAGUAUCAUGGAGAGUUACUUGCAAUGGAGGUGUUCACGGCAGAAAGACUCAACAUUUAGAAUCUAAUGAGGGAUUCCUUGGAAUGGGCUUAACAAAGGCAAAUUAAAUACGUAAACCAAAAAUGCUGGGAUGUAAAGUUUUAACUUAGGGAUAAAGUGUAGCUGAACACUAAGAACCUAAGGUUACCAAGUGGGAUCAACUGGAAGUUAACCUAAAGAUAAAAUGCAUGUAUUUCUGGAAAUGAACUGAUCUUGAGUUCCUUAAACAGGUUUAUGGGGCCUUAUGAAAUUCAGGCUUGAAUUAGUAAAAUGGCUUACCGCCUCUGACUUCCUCAGAAGAUAGGGAAGAUGCGCCCUAUGUUUCACGUGAACUUACUUAAGCCGUACUUUCUUUAAGGACCCACUUCUCAAGGACCAAGUAAGACAUAUACCUAAAGUUAUCCAAGGGAAAGAAGAAUACGAAGUCAAGGCCAUCCUCAAUGUGUGCAAGAGCAAGUGAUAAGAACGAAAGGUGAGGGAGUUCCAUGUGAAGUGGAAAAGAUUUUCACACUAUGAAGUAACAUGGGAAUUGAAGGAAAACCUUACAAAUGCAUGAGAUCUAGUGAAGGAAUUUUUACAAAGUAGAACUAUAUGUACUUAUGCAAAAUUUAAUUAAAGAAUCUAUUUGAGAAAUUGAGCAAUGUCAUAUGUUGGGACCCAAAGGCAUGCCGAAAGUAAGCUAAUUAGCAUAUGUUAGUGUAAGCAACCAAAGGGAACGAUUCGAGAGACGAUCCAUGGGGUUCAAAUAUAGAGGGAAAGGGCCCAUGAACAAGAGUGCACCCCCUUUUCCAAUCGGUCAAGGGUCUUGGGAUAGUUGGAGUUAAGCGUCUUUGGGUUUGAGUAGUACUGGGAUAGGUGACCUCCCGGGAAGUCCAAACUCAGGAGCUUACAUUUGGUAUCAGAGGGGUCUCGGGUCCGACUCUGUUGGUUGGCUAGGGGAAUCACACCACAUGUUGAUUGACAUCUGGCUAGUCCAGUUUGCUCCCACUGGGCUCGACCCGAGGGGUAGGGUGUCAAGAGAGCGAGGCUCUCGGGAGAGUUGCGGCUCUCAGCUUCCGUUCACGAGGGCGUGAACUUGCAGGGAAGCGUGGUGGAUUGUAAGCAACCAAAGGGAACGAUUCGAGAGAUGAUCCAUGGGGUUCAAAUAUAGAGGGAAAGGGCCCAUGAACAAGAGUGCACCCCCUUUUCCAAUUGGACAAGGGUCUUGGGAUAGUUGGAGUUAAGCGUCUUUGGGUUUGAGUAGUACUGGGAUGGGUGACCUCCCGGGAAGUCCAAACUCAGGAGCUUACAGUUAGCUAGGUUGACCAAGCAUAAAGAAUUAUACCUGACUCCUUAUGGGGAUGUCAAAUCCGUAAACGUAUUCUACAAAGGUUGGGUUUGAGUCCCAACCCUUUAGUAAAGCAAGGUUGGGUUCAAAUCCCUACCCUAUACUCCCCAAAGUGUUGUAAACUAAAGGAUCCACAAAAGCAUGACCAAAAUGAUAAAGAGUUCAUCAGACAAGACUGAGUCUGAGAUCAAGUCCAAGACUGAUUUUGAGACCGAGUCCGUGAUCCGAGAUUAAGUUCGAAACCAAGUCUAAGACCGAGUCCGAAAUCGAGUCUGAAACAAAGUCUGAAGUUGGGUCCAAGAUCAAGUAUAAGACCAAGUCUGAGGUCACGUCUGAAAUUGAGUUUGAGAUUGAGUUCGAGAUUGAGUCUAAAUACUAAUAUAGGUAGUGGAAUGAAAGCCCAAAGCGUGUGUCUCCCAGAGGGGGUUGUAAAGUAUAGUAAAGAUAAUGAGGUCCAAGAAUCAAUUUUCAAAGAACUCUCACUUGAGGUUGAGCCUGAGGCUUAUAAGCCUUGGGUGGGAAUGAGUAUGGAUUCAGGUGGUGCUAAAGGGGCUACCCAAGGAAGUUCUUAAGAGCAACUCCCACUUCUAGAAGGGAAACCAAUUGUCGUACUCCUGGCUCAUGUGGAGUGGUGCCCCAUUUGAGUACUUUGCAACUCAUUGCCCCUCACCCUUUUUAGAGGCUUGGGCCUUUCCUUUGGGAUGGAAGUGGGGUAAUAGGGGUACCCAUUAAGCCAUAGGGUUUCCCUUUAGUGUCCCAAAGCAAGUGUUGUAGCCAAAGUUUAAGAUUUAGAGGGUUCCAUGAUCAAAUUUUGUUGUACCAAGAGAUAUUAGGAACCUAGAGGUUUGGUAUACUUGGUUGCUUGUGUUUGCAGGGAGUGUAACCAAACCUUAAGUCUAGUUUAACCUAGGGAGGGGGAUUGGGAGAGAACUUCAGAAUUCAUAGAUGGAUGGCUAAACCUCUAUUGUUUGUGUAGUGAGUUGUUAAAACCAAGUAAAACCAAGUAAAAGCUAGUACAAUAAAUGAGAACUUUGGUAAGGGAUUUUAACUAAGGUUAAGGCCAUAAUGGUCGGAUAGUCAUGGUAAAUUUACAAAUUAGAAAGGAAAAAUUUAUAACUUACAGCUAUGCUAUAUUUUGGGAGUAUGGCAAUUUGAAGGUUAUGCCCCAUACAUAUAUGGUAUACCCCAUGAAAAAAUAUUAUAUACAUAAUCAUAUUUUGAUUGCUUAUAUAGCAAUUUCAAUUGAUAGUAUACAUAAUAAUUUUGCAUGCAACUUAAAAAUAAUUUAUAUAAUACUCCAUAGGUAAUUACAUAAUUAUGACCAUAAAUAAAACUCUAAAAAAUUAUAGUAAUAAGAUAAUUGAUUAUUUCUCAUAAUAAAAUUUAAAAAAAUGCAUUAAUAAUUCUUAAAUUUCACAUGUAGUAUAUAUAUGUUGAAAUUGAUUAAACAUUUCUUUUAUAGUUUUAGUGUUAUGUAGCACUCUUUAUUACUCAAAUCAUGUUAUUAUUUACCUUUGUACUUUCUUUAAUUUUAUGUAAAAAUAAUUAGAAAAUUAUAUAGUAACUUAUCCACACAUAAAUUUAUUUUAAAAAUUAAAUUUAUAAUUUUUAUUUGUAAAAAUAUUAAAAUAAAUUAAAUAUUUUAAAAAGUUUAAGUUAAAAUAAGCUUUUUUUUAUUCAACCUUAAUAGAAUUUCACACAUAACUCUUAAUUUAUAUUUUUUAAUCUUCACAAACAAUCAUCAUACAAUGAGAUAUUUCCCCACUGUAAGUGGGUAUAAACUUUUGAUUAAAAUUUCUUAGUUACUUUAAUAUGAUAUAUAAAUACAACACUCACUUUUCAAAUUCUUUAAGUUUUUUCUUAACUUCUUUGAUAUGAAUGAGUUUUAGAAUAACAUAAUCAUAGUUUAUAACUUUUGGUAGGAACAAGAAAAUAUUGUUUUUUUAAUAAAAAAAAUAUUUUAGCCUUUAGCAAAUACUACAUUGUGUAAUUCAUUGUCAAAUAUAGUAAUAUAAGAGGAUUUUGUGAAUGAACAUUGUUUCAUAUUUGUUAUUUAUUUCUGAAAUUGUUGGAGCCAUAAUUGUUAAACUUAUAUUAUAUUAUACGACACACAUUGAUUUUAAUAUAAAAAUAGAAAAUUCAUGCAAUAAGAAUAUUGGUCAUAUAUAGUCAUAUUUUAAAAAAUGCUUUUAUGUGCCAUAAAUUCCUUACACAUAAUUGUAUUGUAAUUGUAAUACUUGAUAUCAAAACCAAAUUCACUUUGUAUUAGUUGGAUAUAAUAUCAAAGUUGUGUAGUUGAUGAGACUAACAAAAUUUAGCAGCUUCAUAUGGGUAAUUUCUAAAAUUUAAAAGCAAUGGCUGGACAUCCAAACUACUAUGGCAGGGUGAUGUAAUUAAUAUUCAAGUCUCUUCAUAAUUUUUAUGGUAUGUUAUUGACUCCUUAAUUACAAAAUUCUGCUCAUCAUAAUCAAGAUUCUCACAAAGUUGUAAUUUCAUGUUAACUUUCAAUAUCCAAACAUAAAACUAGGGAAAGCAUCACAAAGUUGACUUUAUCAUAUAUAAUUUCUAUUUCCAGCUAGCAUUAUUGUGUUAUUCUAAUGUGAAUAUAUCCCAUUAGGUAUAGCAUUAAAAUAUUAUAUUGUCAAAGCUAUCACUAUAAAUGUUUUUUGUUGUAAUAAUUGUUAUAAUUGUUUUCAUUUCUUCCCAUAAACAAAUUCAUAUCCUAGGAGACUUAUGUAGAUUUCUCUAGUGCUUUUAAACUUUUAACUAAUCUUUAUGUUUAUGUUUGAUUAUAUUGUGUAUAUUAUUAUAGUUGAAUUUUGAUAUUGAUCUAUCAAAAAAGCUAAUAAAUACAUUUAUAAUGUGAAAUACUUAGCUUUGGUUUAUUUUUAUGAUAAUUGUUAUUUUUAUUAGUUCAAUAAAAUUAAUAUUACAAAAUGUUUUUAUAACUAAAAUUAUCAAAGUAACCUAACUCUAAUAUUAUACUAUUUAAAUAUUUGUAUCCUUAACCUGGAGCAAAUGUAUGAUAACAAACAAUAGUUCUUGCUCAAGGUCAAGGAAAAGGACCUUUUGGACAUGCCUUGCUAUACUUACUUUGUGUGGAUUGGAUGCUUUGGAAAUCGUGUGGGCAAUGGGGUGGUACUAUGACAACCAUGUAGAUAUGUUUAUUAAUUUCAAGCAAUUCAAUUUUGCUGCUGUCCCCUCUAGAGACCAAGUUCAAGAAACUGGCUAGGCAUGCUCUUGGAUGCUAUUACAUGCUUGGCAAAUGCAAGUGCCCUGCUCUAGCUCUAGGUCACAACAUUCUAUGUUUCAUGCACAUUAGCUACAAUCGUGCACACAGGAGGAGUGAAAAGCUAAGAUUACAAAAAAGAUUA